Molecule: long non-coding RNA, 69062 nt
Filed under: Medicago truncatula (barrel medic)
Lineage: Eukaryota; Viridiplantae; Streptophyta; Magnoliopsida; Fabales; Fabaceae
Description: long non-coding RNA (MTRU_LNC006149)
Source: RNAcentral
GACCAAACAAGAGGAAGAUCCAUAUAACCAGAAGAAAUCGUAUGUUACGAAAUUACUUUUCCUACAAGACCAAAGAGGGUAAAAACAGGUCAAGAAAUACAUGAUCUCAGAGACGAUAAAGAAUUUUUAAAAAUGAAAAGAAUUUAAUACAGAUCACCAAAUCAAAACGCUAGGCUCCAUGCAUCAAGCAGGUAAUAGUUUAACAAACCACGCAGCAAGAAAACAUGUUGAAAAUUCAAUUUGCAUGCCUUGCAGUAAAAACCCAGAAAUUAAAGUAAUAAAGAACGAAUCACUGAAUAAAUUGAUUUAUCUAUCUGGAGCCAAAUGUAUGCUGAUUAAAUAAUGAAGUUCAUGAUUCAAUUUUUAUUUAUAGCAUUAAAAGAACAAACACCAAGAUUAACUUCACAAACAUGAACCCGGAAAUGAAAAAGAAUACAAAAUUAUUGGAAGAAAGAUAGAGCAAGAAGAAAGCGUAUUUAUUUCUCCUGAAAAACCAAAGAGGUCACCGAAUCAAAAAAAUAUUAACUGAUUUAAUAGUAUACAUUAAAAAUAAUGAAGAAAUUUAGAAAAGAAAAAUGAUUUAACAGACAUCACCAAAUCAAAUCCACGCUUAGUUUGACCAAACACGCUGCAGAAUAAUUAAGGACAUGAUUAAGGACAUGUUUAAAAUUCAAUUUUUUACACCGCACAUUACAUGUUGAUUAUUAUCUCUAUUGUUCGUGCUCAAUAGAAGUGAUCUUACUGAAGUUCUCAAGAGUAAUUUCCAAUAAAGAAAGUUUAUACUCUAGUUAACACUGGCAGGUCAAACAACCAAAAUAUAACUUUCAAAAUACAUUAAGCAUUCCUAAGCUAGAAGCAGGCCUGCUUUGUGGACUAAUGAGAAACAAUAAACUCCGCACAUUUGGUAUAUUCCACUAUUGUGCUUGUUCUUGAUAGAAAGAAUGCAGGACACGCAUAAAUAGUAAGAAAUAACUGGUUUUGUCCAAAAUAGGACGCUCUAUCAUGUUAUUCACACAAGCUUUUCACAAUCCACGUAUAUUUGCAAUGAACGAGAUAAAAUUACAAAGAACCAAUCCAAGUAGAAUUCACCUUGAAGCCCGGUGCCCUCAGAAAUAUCCACUUAGAGAACCGAUUUAUUCUUAUGAACACCCAAGCUCCCCAAAUAAAGACCACACAAGCUGUCCAAAACAGAUUACAGAUACAGGUAGGUCAAACCAUAAGAGAAUAACUACUCCACUGACAAAGAUACAAAUUUGGGACAGAAGAUUCUUAUUCUUAUAUAAUAACUAGAAAAGAUGGGAGACUACCAGAGUACAACACCAAAACAAGUCAUAUACUCUAGAAUCUUGUAUGCUUCAGUAUUCAUGCUCCUCAUGCAAAAACACAUAUAUCCAGCACUAGCAUGAGACAUAUCAAAGGAAAAAUAUCCCCUAAUGUCGUAACAUAACAGAUAUGUAAAAAAUCAUUAACCUUCAGUUUCCACAGGUCACAGCACACCAUAUAUUCAUAGUCGGUCUCCCCUGUAACACCCAUAGAUAUCAAAAGAAUUGAAAAAAGAUGUAAUUGAAAAGAAAAAUAGAUUCACAAUCCAAUCUUCAUGUCUUAAAAACAAAGCAAUAAUCUUAAAAAGUAAAGAACGACUCAUUGGAGUGAUCUGAUAUAUCUGGACUCUCCAAACAUUGUAGAUAUUCAAACUUUAGCCCUCUGCAAAACAGAGGUGUAUAUCUUGAUUAUCCAAGAAAGAGAUGGACAGUAUCAUAAAUAUUGCCAAAGCUCUCAUAAUAUCUAGAUUCAUAAUUCUAGACAUUGCCACAUCACAAGGACACCUAUACAUGAACAAGUACAUUCAAGGCAAGAAAAUGACCGGUGAAAUCCAAGGGUCUGCAGCUUUAACAUCACAGUACAUCAUCUCCCCUGUAACACAAGCCAAGAAAAUUUCACAACAAAAAACCCCAGUUACAAACACAUGGAGUUGGGUAGGAAUGAGAGAAAACUACAUCCACAAAAGACAAGGAAACGUUAAGAAAUCACUGUCAAAGUAGAGAUAACGAAAUGAAAGCUUAACAACGGCAGAUUCUGGUGAUCCAUUAAGCUCUCCCCCCUAAAAACCAAGUCCUUGUAUAUAACCAAUUGCAGAAUCUGUGAGGCAUAACCAUUUUGGAGAGAAGAUUCUUAGCCUUAUGUAUAUAUACCACAAACCGCAGGAAAAUAGAAAACGAAUUAUAGUAGAGGAAAAGACAAAUCAACAAUUAAAGUAUUGAAGUGCCAAACCAGUCCAGAAUGCUUAUAUGCUUCAUACUCUCAUGAGACAGAACCACAAAAACUCAGACACUUGCAAGAAACCAUCAGAGGACCCGAUAUCCCAAAUCCCAAUAUAAAACAGACUGUGGUUAUUUUAAGAUACAUUACGCUCCAGAAAACAGGUUUUAAUACACAAUCCCACCAGGAAUGAAACUCAAUUGGCAACAUCCAAAACAGAAAAUUCAUAUCAGAACUCCAGUCAUCUUUCCAAGUUCCGCAAAACAUUACUAUUUCCUAUUACUCAUAUAGCAAUACCAUAAAUGCAAAACAACAUCGGUCUACCAAGAAUAAUGUUAGUUGUAACAGAGGAAUUCAAGAACAAUUAAUCAAUUGUAACUGCAAAAGUUAAGAUACCGAAUAAUUAAUCACAAAGAAUAAGAAUACAACACAUGAGGAUCAAACAAGAGAAUGUCACAGAUUAUUGCUCCUGCAACACCAAAAAGUAACGAAUGAAGAAAUAUUCAUACUCUCAGCAACACCAAAAAGUAACCAAUCAAGAAAUAUUCAUACUCUUAGCAGUGAAAGAAAUAUUGUAAACAAAGAAUUAUGAUAGAUAUCACCAUAUAAAAACGCUAUGAUGCGAAGAAAGUUAUUAGAUUUGACAGACCGUGCUGCAGAAAAACAUGUUCAAAAUUCAAUUUGUUAAAAGCCCAUAAAUCAAGUUAAUAAAUGACUCAUUGAAGAAACAUCAUCUAUCUAUCGGAUGUUGUUCCUCGUUCUUGUCCAUUGAAUCAAGUGUUCUAGAUAUCUAGAGUUCCGAGUUCCCUGCUUGCAGUACAACGGAUUAAAGGUCUUCAAUUAUCAAAUGAAGUUAUUUUGAAAAAUAACACAAAGAUUGAAUAAAUGAAAUUUCUAGAGAUCACCAGAAAAAUACUAAAGGCUCCAUACUCUGAAGUAGGUUAUUAUUUAAACAAACCAGGCUGCUGAAAAAGCAUGUUCGCAGUUCAAUUAUUUUGACAAACCAUGCUGCAGAAAAGCAUUUUCAAAAUCAAUUUGUAUGUCUUGUAAUCAAAGUCAGAUUUUAAACAAAAUUAACAAAAUCAAUAAAGAUUUAAACAAAAAGGAUUUACUACCUUUGAUAUUUAUGAAGUAAGGAGAAAAAUUUGAGGUUCUAUGCUAUGAAGGAGGUUAAUAUUUUGACAAAACCAAGCUGAAAAAGAAAGUCAUUGAUUCAAUUUUGCUGUCUUGCAUUAAAAUUAAUAAAUAAUCACCAAAAUCAAAACCUCACAAAGAAGCGUGUUUUCAUAGAUAUUUCUCCUGAAACACCAAAGAGACCAAAUCAAAAAAUAUCAACUGAUUCAAUGUAAUACAUAAAUAACAAUGAAGAAAUUUUGAAAACAAAUAAUUUAACAGACAUCACCAAAUCAAAUCCAUGCUUUAGUUUGCAAACCACCCACCACGCUGCAGAAUAAUUAAGAUGUUCAAUAUUCAAUUGUAUGUUUUCCAAUCAAAUUAAAAUAAUUAAGAACCACUAUUAAUUAAAGAAAUUUAAUUUAUCUAGCUGGGGCCUUUCUUGUGCCUUGUAUCAAGAUGUUUCACUGCAAAACUGAUAAACGAUCUCUCGAUUAUCAAAUGAAGAAUUAAUUAUAUAUGAAUUUUAAGAAAUUUUUAUGUAAAAGAAUAAGGGCUCGUGUAAGUAGGAAACAGAAAAUAUCUAUUCUAGUUCUAUCAUCAGCUAUGGGUUCGAAUUUAAGCGAAAUUCUUGAGAACGUUUGCUACCCCGAAAUUUUUAUAUCUUUCCUCAAUGAAAAGGAGGAAAAAAAAAUAGGGUCAAAAGAAAAUGCCAUUUUGGAGUUUUAUCGACAAUUUGCUUGUGUAGGCGGAGAUCCCAUAUUUCCGGAAUCUUUAUGUACGGAAUUACAAAAAAAAAAAUUUCAACAAAGAUGUGAAUUGGGAGGGAUUGGUUUGCAACAAAAGGGACAGAAUUUUCUCAAUUCACAUCGAUUGGGUGUAUUGUGUCGAUUCUUUUGAGUAAUAUAUCUAGAAAUACCCCUAGAUAUGUGAUUGUGUGAAAUUCUGUUGAAAGUAUAUCUUAACAAUCACUGAAUUUAAGCAAUAACAGAUCAAAGAAUCAAGAAACUAGAACACCAAAUCAAGAAAUCAUAAUUGCAUUCUUUAAAUCGACAUAGAAAAAAAAGAUUUACUAGAUAUCACCAAAUCAAAUCUAGAAGCUCCAUGCUAUGAAUAACGUUAUACUCUGACAAACCACGCUGCAGAAAAACAUGUUCAUGAAUAAGAUAUAUUCAUACUCGAGUAGUUAAAGAAAUAUUGAAAACAAAAAGAUUAUGAUAGAUAUCACCAAAUAAAUAUGCCAUGCUCUGCUGUGAAGGAAGUUAACAGUUUGACAGACAGUGCUGCAAAAAAACAUGUUCAAAUUCAAUUCCCGGAGCGAUAAGAACGAAAGGGUUGUGUGGCCACAGCUACAACACUCUUGAUACGAAAGAAACCAUCAUAAAUUAAAUUGAUAAAGGACUCGUUCAAGAAAAAUCAUUUAUCUAUCAAGAGCCGUUCCCCGUUACAUUACGUCUCCUAGAUUUCAAGACUUGAUCUUCGAUUAUCAAAGUAAGAGUUAUAUCGAAAAAUAAUACUCGUUAACUAAUCGUAAAAGAAGAGUCAAGAAAAGUAUGAGAGAGUGUGAAAUAUAUGCUCUCGGGCAUUGAACGGACGAAUUUACUAGAUAGAGAUCACCAGAAAAUUCUCAAGCUUCCAUACUCAGGAGGUUAUUACUUAGACAAACCAAGCUGCAGAAAAAGCAAGUUCACAGUUCAAUUCUUCUCAUAAUCUAAAACUUGAAAUUGAAAACAAUAAAGAAUGAAUCAUUGAAGAAAUUCGAUUCAUCUAUUUGAAGCAAUUCUCCGUUCAUAUCCGUUGUGUCAAGAAUCACAAAAUGUUCACAGUUUUUCGGAAUUCCGCCACCUGCUGCAAAUUAAACAUAUAUCUCCGUUAUCUACUUAUGAAGAACUAGAACCAAUAGUUCGAAAAUAAACAUAAUUUUUGAAAAAAACGAUCCAUAAAAGAAGAGUAGAGAGAACUGUGAAAUUCUUGAUAUCUAUAUUCCAAAAAAGCAUAUCAAAACACCAAUCAAUAAAGAUCUCAUUGAUAGAAGAAGAUCAAAGACCCAAGCGAAAAGAUAAACUGCAGACUCCUUAUGCUUUAUACUCAUGUUCCUGAUACAAAAACAUAAAAACUGCAACACUAUCCGAGCACACCAUCAGAGCACAACUAUCCCAUCCCAACACAAAAUGAAACCAGUUUUAUUAAUACCAAGGUUGAAUGAAAAGUAGGAUGUAUGACCAGUUUUAUUAAUACCAAGGUUGAAUGAAAAGUAGGAUGUAUGACCAUCAAAGCAGUCACAAUUUCUCCAGAAUUGUGUAAACUAUCACGGUCAGAAUACAUCAAAAACCUGAAUGUAAGGAAUCAGAGUAUGAUGGUGUAAGAAAACCUAAGGCUGAACUUCUCAGAUAUAAACAAGAGGAAGAUCAAUAGAACCAGAAUAUGUUUAAAAAAGAUCACUUCUCCUGCAACACGGAAGAAUAAACAACAAAUAAAGAAAUAUAUAUGUCGAUAAAACAAAUUUUUAAAAUGAAAAGAAUUAAAUAGUUAUCACCAUAUCAAAAUGCUAGGUUCCAUGCCAUGAAGCAGAUUAUUAGUGUGACAAACCAUGCUGCAGGAAAACAUGUUCAAAAUUCAUUUCGUAUGUCAUGCAAUUGAAGCCCAGAAAUUAAAAUAAUAAAGAAUGGCUCAAUGAAGAAAUUUGAUUUUUAUCUGCUGUUGUUCUUUUCCGGUGUAUGAAACGUUCUAGAUAAUGAAGAUUUCACAGACUGCAAGAUGGAUAAAUGCAUCGCCAGGUUAUCAAAUGAAGAAUUAUAUCCCAAACAAGUUUUGAUAACCAAUCCAUAAAAGAAGAGACAAGAUAAGUGUUAAAAUUCAUGAUAUCUACAAUCUGAGGGGAACAUAUUAAUAAGCAAACAAUAUGGCCAACUAGUUAAAAAAUCAAGUAACAAAAGAAGGUAUGAACAAGAAUAAACAAACAAACUUCAUAAUCAAGAAAUCAAAAGCAUAUCUUCUCAUGUAACACCAUCAAGAAAUCAAAAUCAUAUCCUCUUAAUACCAAAAAGUAAAUUAACAAUUUAACAAUUCAAGAAACAUUUGUUCUUAGAAUCAAGAAUGUAAGAUUGAAACAAAAAGGAUUUACUAGAUAUCACCAAAUCAAAACUUCAGGCUCUAUGCUGUGAAGGAUAUUAUUAUUUUGACAAACCAUACUGCUGUCUAAACCAACAAAAACAAAUAAUCAACCAGACAAAUCAUGAAACCGAAAGAAUCAAUCAAAAAUGAAUUAACAGUGCAAAACAUGAAGACCAAACAAGAGGAAGAUACAUACAACCAGAAGAAAUCGUAUGUUACAAAAUUACUUUUCCUGCAAGACCAACGAGGGUAAAAAACAGGUCAAGAAAUACAUGAUGAAAUACAUGAUCUCAGAGACGAUAAAGAAUUUUUAAAAAUGAAAAGAAUUUAAUACAUAUAACCAGAAGAAAUCGUAUGUUACAAAAUUACUUUUCCUGCAAGACCUAAGAGGGUAAAAACAGGUCAAGAAAUACAUGAUCUCAAGAGACAAUAAAGAAUUUUAAAAAAUGAAAAGAAUUUAAUACAGAUCACCAAAUCAAAACGCUAGGCUCCAUGCAUCAUUGAAGAAAUUUGAUUUAUCAAUGUGAAGCCAUUCUCUGUACAUAUCCAUUGAGUCAAGAAUCGCAAAAUGUUUAGUUUCUCAAAAUUCCACUUCCAGCAUAAUGGUUAAAUGCAUAUCUCAAGUAUCUAACAUGAUGAUCUCGAUUAUGAAGAACUACAACCAAUAGUUUGAAAAUAAACAUAUCACAACGAUCCAUAUAGGAGUAGAGAGAAUCGUGAAAUCCUUGAUAUUCUAAAAUCUAAUAAAGCAUAUCAAAAUGCCACAACAUAAAGAUCUCCUUGAUAGAAGCAAAUCAAAGACCCAAUCAAAAAGAUAAAGUCCAGACUCACAUUCCUGAUACAAAAACAUGAAACUGUACCACUAGCAGGGCACACAAUCAGAGCAUAACUAUCCCAUCCCAACACAAAUUAACAUGCAAGGGAAAAAACAACCAUUUUUACUUAUCCCUGGGCUGAACGAAGAGUAAGAUGUAUGGCCAGGUUUAUUCCAAGUCUAAUCAGAAGUAUAAAAACCUACAUGAAGAGUAAGAGGAAAGCCCAUCAUAGAAAGAGUAAAUAACAAAAAAAGUAAUGACUAGAAGUAGAAGACUGCUGGCCUGAGAAGGCGGCCUCUGAUAGAACCAGAGUAUGUUUACAGUUCACUUCUCCUGCAACACGAAAGAGUAAAUAAAAAAUAAAGAAAUGUAUGAUGACGAUAAAAGAAAUUUUCAAAAUGAAAAGAAUCUAAUGGAAAUCACCAAAUCAAAAUGAAAACAACAUGUUAAAAAUUCAAUCCGUAUGUCUUGCAAUUGAAGCCCAGAAAUUAAAUUAAUAAAGAAUGGAUCAUUGAAGAAAUUGAUUUUUAUCUAUCUGGAGCUGUCGUUCUUGUCCGGUGUAUAAAAACAUUCUAGAUAUCAAGACUUCACAGCUAUGGAUAAAUGCAUCGCCAGAUUAUCAAAUUAAGAAUUAUAUCCCAAAAAUUAUAGAAACAAGUUAUGAUAAUCAAUCAGUAAAAGGAAGAGUCAGCAGAUGUGUUAAAAUUCAUGAUAUCUACAACCCAGUGCUACGCUCCAUGCAUCAAGCAGGUUUUUAGUGUAACAAACCACGCUGCAGCAAAACAUGUUGAAAAUUCAAUUUGCAUCUCUUGCAGUAAAAACCCAGAAAUAAAUGUAACAAAGAACGAAUCAUUGAAUAAACUGAUUUAUCUAUCUGAAGACAUUCUCCAUUUUUCAUAUGUUGUAUCAAGCCUUUCUAGUUAUCAAGAUUCAAGACUUCUCAGCUCGCUGCAAAACGGCCAAAUGUAUGUCUCGAUUAUAUAACGAAGUUUAUAUCCAAUAAUCCAAAAAUUACAGAAAUAAUUCUUGAUAACGGAUCGUAAAAGAAGAGUGAAAAGAAACAAAUUAAAUAUCGCUUAUAGGAAAACCUGAAAUUAAACAAUCAGGGAGCAAACAAUCUGGCUAAUGGAUCAAGAAAGGAAAGAAAUUAGAAGAAGAUCAAGCAACCUCAUAAGUAUAAUUCGAAAAAUUACACAAAUAAUUCUUUAUAACCAAUGGUAACAACAUAUUCUGGAAAAGUAUGAUAGUGUGAAAUAUAUGCUUCUCAUAUGGAAAUAUUGUAAGAAAAGAAUUUACUAACAAUCACCAUAUCAAUACUCGAGGAUGCAGAAAAACAAUGGCAGGUUAUAUUUUUUGACAAACCAGGCCGCAGAAAAACCAUGGGAGGUUAUUAUUUUGACAAACCAAGCUUCAGAAAAACCACGUUCACAGUUCGAUUCGUCUCAUAGUUAAAGAUCUGGAGAAAUUCAAUUUAUAUCUGAAGCCGUUCUCCGUUCGUAUAUGUUGUGUCAGCAAUCGCAAAACAAUCUGGACUUCCAGACUUCAGCUCGCUGCAAAACGGAUAAAUGCAUGUCUCGAUUAUCCAAUUAUGAACAACCAUAUCCAAUAAACCAAAAAAAUAAACAAACAACAAUUCUUGAAAAACCAAUCCAUGAAAAAAGAGCCAGGAGAACUGUGACAUUCGUGAUAGAAGCAUAUCAAAAUACAAGUCCAAAAUGAACUCCUUGAUAGAAGCAGCACAAAGACUCCAGAAACAAGAACAUAAUAACUGCAACUCUAACAGAGCACAGAUACAGAUGUAGGCAAAAAAUGACCAGUUUUAUUCAUCCGAAGGCUGAACGGAAAGUAAGCGAACCUCUCUGCAUGCCACACAAUUAUAGGCUUACUCCCCUUGUAACACAGAGAAAACUCAAAGGAUCUGACAAAAGUGGAUGACAGCCUGUAGACAGUAGACAGUAUAUGACAAUGACAGCCUGUAGAAAGAUAAUGAUUCAUUGGAACAAUUUUGCAAGAUCGUCAUGCAACCACAUGAAAGACAAUUUAGCUUUCUACUAAUACAGAGAAGUCCCUACACAACAUAAUGAAGAGGAUAUCUUUUAAGGAGGAUCAUCAUCAUAAUAAAUAAACAAUAUCAAAACAGUAAAAGAAGACUAUAGACAGACUCUCCCAUCAAAGUUAUGUCAUCACCAACAUACCAAAAACACACAAAAACUUGAACACAGAAAGAAACACAAAAUCAUGAACACCAGCUUCUACACAAUUAGGACAACAAUUCAGAAACAAAAACAUAUACGUAUGUAAAAGAUAACCAAUUAUAUCCCAAGGACGAAUGAGAAGGUCUGGGCCAAUCAAAUUCAAGCUUGUGAGAAGAGUCAUGAAGCACGAAAGCAUAAAUAAUGCUCACAUCUAAAUUAGAUCGCCAAAUUAAGCCUCACAGAGAUUGAGAAUUUAACUUGUUAUUCAUGUAAUUAGUUGCAGAAGAUAAAUAGUACAGAGCAGAAGCACUCAUCUCCAAUUUCUCAACUUCAGACAGCAAAAUAAACAAGGUACAGUGUAGUAGAGAAAAGGAGACUACUGUUGAACACUUACCCUGUAACAGCACAAAGUUGUCCAAACCAAGCUGCUAAUCCGCAGAUCAUAGUUACGAAGUAAACCCCACAAAGUUGUCUCAAUUUCUCAGAAUUGUGUAACCACUACUCCGUCACAUUACAUGUGAAAAACAUAAAUGUAAUAAAACAGUAGUUUGAUGGAGUAGUGUAACAGAUAGUUGCAAAAUAAAAGAGAAGAUUAGCAUAAUUCUCCAAACCAAGCCGCUGAACAAAAGAUCAUAGUUACAAGAGAGCCCCUCACAAGCUGUCCCAUUUCUCCAGAAAAAUAUGUAAACUAUCACACUAUCAGAUUACAUGCCAAAUACCUAUAUGUAAGAAAACAGUAGUGAUUGAGAAAGAUACACAAAAACAUGUAACAAUUACCCAGUCCAAAUGACACAAACGGGCAACCCGUGCACUAAAGCUCCUUCAUACGCAGGGUUCGGGAAAGGGUCCCACCAUUAUUGGUGUAUUGUACGCUGCCUUAACCUGUUUUUUACACAAGAGGCUGCUUCCAGGACUUGAACACCAAAUAACACAUGCACAAAAAUAUUACACUGUACCACCUAAUUAUAGAAAAAACCAAGUAAGAGAAACAAGAGUAGUAUUAACCAAGUAGUAUUAAAUAACACAUGCACAAAUGAAGCCACUGAUAAAAAGAUCAUAUUUACAAAAACACAUAAAUAACUUACUUAAUUUCUCCAGAUUUGUGUAAACUCAAUUUACAGGUCAGAAAUCUAAAUGUAAGAUAACAGUAGUAUUAAGCAGUCCGCGAACCGUAAGGUUGAACUUCUCAGUAUAAGGGAGUAAAACAAGACUGAACGAUAAAUUUGAGGAUAAUGAAUACUGAACUCAUCUCUCACCCCACUUAAACAGACUUAUCUCUCGCGUGUAACACCCAAGUGACAUAAAGGAGUAAGUCAAAAUGACAGGAUAGUAGAACUUUACAGAGAAUUAAUGAGAUAAAAACUAUUCACAACCAAGAAGAGUGUAUCAAAAUACACCUGAUUGCUUGGUGCUACACAGAACAGUCUCAAAACACACAGCACUGCAGAAAACAGAAAAUGUUUCAAUUCACAAUUUAGUAUAAUCAUGUAGUUUCACAAAACAUUACUACCAUUAUCUAAAACUCAAUCGGCAACAUCUCAAGAGAAAAUUCACAUAUGAACUCAAGGCUCCAUGCUAUGAAAAAAUAACUUCAAUAAUUACGCCGUAUGCCUCUUCCAUCAUAUCACUUGGCUCUAAAAAGAAGACAGAUAAUGGAAAGGAGGAUGAGGGAGGAUAUAAGAGAAGUGUGAGACAAUGGAUAAUGGUAAAAAUUCAUUAAGUUUAAUGAUAUUUUUGUCAAUUCAAGUGUAAAGACGCCAGCUAAUUAUUUUCCUUUGAUUGUGAAAAAUGUUACAAUUCUUUUGCUAGUUUUAAUUUCAAAGAUACAAAGAUUUAAUUGUAAUAUUUUACACUACACUGUUAAAUGGUGAAUAUUAUCAUUUUUUUUUUAUGAACAAGCGUGAAUAUUAUAUCUAUUGUGAUUUCUGAAUAGAAGUUUUAAUCUAACCUUAAUGAAGUUUUAAUAUCAUUGAGUAAUUUCCAAAUAGAAAAUUAUCAAAGUGAUCUGGUACACAUGCUUAUAUAGAUCAACGGUGUUAAUUAAAAAAUACAUUGAUAAAAUUGUAAUUUUUUACACUACACGUUGUCCUUGCUCGUUAGAAGUUUAAACUUAACCUUACUGAAGGUAUCAGAGUGAUUUCCAAAAAAAAAAAUGAUAAAAGUCAUCUGGUACAAAAUUGAUCAUUAGAACAUCAUAAAAGAUAAUUGAAAAUAACAAAAUUGAUCAUUAGAACAUCAUAAACAUUUGCUUAGUUAUGUCCCUAACACCAUGUUCAAUUUCUACUCUAGUUAACACUGGCAGGUCAAACAACAAAGAGAUAACUUUCAAAAUACAUUAAGCAUUCCUAAGCUAGAAGCAGGCCUGCUUUGUGAACUAAGGAGGAACAAUAAACUCUGCACACUUGGUAUAUUCCAUUAUUGUGGUUGUUCUUAACAAAAAGAAUGCAGGACACGCCAUUAGAAGUAAGAAAUAGCUGGUCUAUCUAUAUUUGCAAUGAACGGGAUAAAAUACAAAGAACCAAUCCAAGCAGAAAGCACAAAGUAUGUAUAACCAAGUAGAAAUCACCUUGAAGCCCGGUGCACUCAGAAAUAUCAACUUAGGAGAACCGAUUUAUUCUUAUGCACAUCGUCAAAUGAUAAACAGUAUAGAAAAGCUCCCCAGAUAAAGACCGCCAUCAGGACAAUCCACCCAAGCUGUCCAAAACAGACUACAGGCAGGCCAAACCAUAAGAGAAUAACUACUCCACCAACAAAGAUACAAAUUUGGGACAGAAGAUUCUUAUAAAACUACAAAAGAUGGCAGACUACCAGAGUAUAACACCAAACCAAGCUGUCCAGAAUUUCAUAUCCUCGUUGCGGACAAAAUCAUAUACUCUAGAAUCUUGUAUGCUUCAGUAUUCAUUCUCCUGAUGCGAAAACACAUAUCCAGCACUAGCAUUAGACAUAUCAAAGGAAAAAUAUCCCUAAUGAUGUAACAUAAACAAACACACGGAUAUGUAAAAAAUUACUGAUCAUAUCACACGGCCGGUUUCCACAGGUCACGGCACACCAUACAUUCAUAGUCGGUCUCCCUUGUAACGCCCUCAAUAUCAAUAGAAAUAUUGAAAAUAAAAAUAGAUUCACAAUCCAAUCUGCAUGUCAUAAGAACAAAUCCCAAAUCUUAGUAAUUUUGAUAUAUCUGGACUCGAGUAUUUCCAAACAUUUUAGAUAUCCAAGCUGACAGAAUCAUAAAUAUUGCCGAAGCUCUCCUAAUAUCUAGAUUCAUAUUUCUAAACAUUGGCACAUCACAAUGUCAAAGGACACCUAUUCCAGAACAAGUACAUUCAAGGCAAGAAAAUGACCAGUGAAAUCCAAGGGUCUGCAUGUUCGUAAUAUUAAGGUUAGCUGCAGCUUUAAAAUCACAGUACAGCAUCUCCCCUGUAACACGAGCUAAGAAAAUUUCACAACAAAAAACCCCAUUUACAGACACAGGGAGUCGGGGUAGGAAUGAGAAAACUAAAUCCACAAAAAGACAAGGAAAACGUGAAGAAGAAAUCUAACUGUCAAAGUAGAAAUAACGAAAUGAAAGCUUAACAACGGCAGCCAAUUGCAGAUUCUGGUGCUCCAUUAAGCUCCCCCCUAAACCAAGUCCUUGCUCCAAUUGCAGAAUCUGUGAGGCAUAACCUUUUUGGAGAGAAGAUUCUUAUCCUCAUGUAUAUAUACCACAAACCGCAGGAAAAUAGAAAACGAAUUAUGAUAGAGGAAGAGACAAAUCAACAAUUAAAGUGCCAAACCAGUCCAGAAUUCUUAUAUGCUUCAUACUCUCAUGAGACAGAACCACAAAAACUCAGACACUUGCAAGAAACCAUCAGAGGACCUGCUAUCCCAAAUCCCAAUAUAAAAACACGGCUAGAAAAUUACCAGUUUUAUCUCAAGGCUGAACAGAACCUUGCUUCGUGCACAUUUAUAGGAUUUUCCUCUAACACUCACAGAAAACUCAAAAAGUAGAUGCUGAUUAUCAAACUAUAGGGAGUAUAUGAAACAGCCUGCAGAGGACGUUGAAUCAGGGUGUGCAAAAAUAAACCUGUACACUUUAAUAAUACACAGACUGGUUAUUUUAAGAUAUAUUAUGCUCCAGAAAACAGGUUUUAAUUCACAAUCCACCAGAAAUGAAUAUCAUGUAUGGAGCUCUGCAAAACAUCACCGUUUUAUGAAACUCAACUGGCAACAUCCAAAACAGAAAAUUCAUAGCAGAACUCCAGUCAUCUUUCCAAGUUCAGCAAAACAUUACUAUUUCCUAUUACUCAAAUAGCAAUACCAUAAAUGCAAAACAACAUCUGUCUACCAAGAAUAAUGUUAGUUGUAACAGGAAUUCAAGAACAAUCAAAAUUGGACUGCAAAAGUUAAAGAUAACGAAUAAUUAAUCACAAAGAAUAAGAAUACUUCACAUGAGGAUCAAACAAGAGAAUGUCACAGAUUAUUGCUCCUGCAACACCAGAGAGCAACGAAUCAAGAAAUAUUCAUACUCUCAGCAACACCAAAAAGUAACCAAUCAAGAAAUAUUCAUACUCUUAGCAGUGAAAGAAAUAUCAUAAAAAAACAGAUUAUGAUAAUAUCACCAUAUAAAAACCCUAUGAUGCGAAGAAAGUUAUUAGAUUUGACAGACCGUGCUGCAGAAAAACAUGUUCAAAAUUCAAUUUGUUCAUAGCCCAGAAAUCAAGUUAAUAAAGGACUCAUUAUCAUUUAUCUUUCAAACACCGUUCCCCCGUUCCUGUCCGUUGAAUCAAGUGUUAUAGAUAUCAAGACUUCCCUGCUCGCAGUACAACGGAUAAACGGAUCUUCUUCUUUUUUUUUUUUUUUUUUUUGAAGUGAAACAUACUUUCAAAAAAACAAAGCUGGAACACAGCCAUCAAACCCACAAUGAUUAUUUCGAUUAUCAACGGAUCUUCAAUUAUCAAAUGAAGAGUUAAAUUGAAAAAUAACACAAAGAUUGAAUAGAUGAAUUUUCUAGAGAUCACCGGGAAAAUACUCAAGGCUCCAUACUACGAAGGAGGUUAUUAUUUAGACAAACCAGGAUGCAGAAAAAGCAUGUUCGCAGUUCAUUUAUUUCGACAAACCACGCUGCAGAAAAGCAUUUUCAAAAUCAAUUUGUAUGUCUUGUAAUCAAAGUCAGAUUAUAAACAAUAAAAAUGGCUCAUUGAAGAAAUUUGAUUUAUCUUGAACCAUUCCCCGUACUUAUAUCUUUGAACCAAGAAUAUGUUGACCUCAGCUGCAAAAUCAAUAAAGAUUUAAACAAAAAGGAUUCACUAUCUUUCAUAUUUAUGAACCAAGGAGAAAAGGUUCUAUGCUAUGUAGGAGGUUAAUUUUUGACAAAACCAAGCUGAAAAAGGAAGUCAUUGAUGUCUUGCAUUAAAAUUAAUAAACAAUAAUCACCAAAAUCAAAACCUCAUAAACAUGAAANAAACAAUGAUCACCAAAAUCAAAACCUCAUAAACAUGAAACCAGAAAGGAAAAAGAAUACAAAACAUGAAGAUCAAAUAAGAGCAAGAAAGAAAGAACCAGAAGAAAUCGUGUUUUCAUAGAUAUUUCUCCUGAAACACCAAAAAGAUCACCAAAUCAAAAAAUCAACUGAAACUGAUUUAAUAAUACAUAAAAAACAAUGAAGAAAUUUUGAAAACAAAAAUAAUUUAACAGACAUCACCAAAUCAAAUCCAUGCUUAGUUUGCAAACUACCCACCACGCUGCAGAAUAAUUAAGAAUAUGUUCAAUAUUCAAAUUGUAUGCUUUCCAAUCAAAUUAAAAUAAUUAAUUAUCAACUAAAGAAAUUUGAUUUAUCUAACUGGAGCCUUUCUUGUACCUUGUAUCAAGAGGUUUCACUGCAAAACCGAUAAAUGAUCUCUCGAUUAUCAAAAUGAAUAAUUAAUUAUAUAAAAAAUUUAAGAAUUUUAAGAAAUUUUUAUGUAAAAGAAGAGUCGAGAGAAGUGUGAUUGUGUGAAAAUGUUGGAAAGUAUAUCUUAACAAUCACUGAAAUUAAGUAAUCACAGAUCAAAGAAACAAGAAAGUAAAACACCAAAUCAAGCAUUCUCUGAAUUGACAUAGAAAGAUAGAACCAAAAAGAUUUACUAGAUAUCACCAAAUCAAAUCUAGAGGCUCCAUGCUAUGAAUAAAGAACAUUUUUAAUACUCUGACAAACCACGCUGCAGAAAUGGAUAAAGGACUCAUUGAAGAAAAAUAAUUAUCUAUCAAGAGCAGUACAACGGAUAAAUGGAUCUUCGAUUAUCAAAGAAGAGUUAUAUCGAAAAAUAAUACUCAUUAACUAAUCGUAAAAGAAGAUUCAAGAAAAGUACGAGAGUGUGAAAUAUAUCCUCUCAGAAGCAUUGAACGGAAAAUUUACUAGAUAGAGAUCACCAGAAAAUUCUCAAGCCUCCAUACUCAGGAGGUUAAUAAUUAGACAAACCAAGCUGCAGAAAAAGCAAGAUCACGGUUCAAUUCUUCUCAUAAUCUAAAACUUGAAAUUAAAAACAAUAAAGAAUGAAUCAUUGAAGAAAUUCGAUUUAUCUAUUUGAAGCCAAUCUCCAUUCAUAUCCGUUGUGUAAAGAAUCACAAAAUGUUUAUAGUUUUUCCGGAUUCCGCCACCUGCUGCAAAUUAAACAUAUAUCUCCAUUAUCUACUUAUGAUAGAAGAAGAUCAAAAGACCCAAGCGAAAAGAUAAACUGCAGACUCCUGAUACAACAUUAUAAAAACUGCAACACUAUCCCAUCACACCAUCAGAGCACAACUAUCCCAUCACACCAUCAGAGCACAACUAUCCCAUCCCAACACAAAAUGAAACCAGUUUUAUUACCAAGGUUGAGUGAAAAGUAGGAUGUAUGACCAGCUUUAUUCCAAGUCUGAACGGAAGUAAUAAACCUAAAUGACAGAUUACAUCAAAGCAGUCACAAUUUCUCCAGAAUUGUGUAAACUAUCACGGUCAGAAUACAUCAAAAACCUGAAUGUAAGGAAAUCAGAGUAAGGCUGAACUUCUAAGAUAUAAACAAGAGGAAGAUCGAUAGAACCAGAAUAUGUUUAAAAAAGAUCACACUUCUCCUGCGACACGGAAGAAUAAACAACAAAUAAAGAUAUAUAUAUGUUGAUAAAAGAAAUUUUUAAAAUGAAAAGAAUUAAAUAGUUAUCACCAAAUCAAAAUGCUAGGUUCCAUGCCACGAAGCAGGUUAUUAGUGUGACAAACCAUGCUGCAGGAAAACAUGUUCAAAAUUCAAUUCGUAUGUCUUGCAAUUGAAGCCCAGAAAUUAAAAUAAUAAACAAUGGCUCAAUGAAGAAAUUUGAUUUUUAUCUAUCGGGGCUGUUGUUCUUUUCCGGUGUAUGAAACGUUCUAGAUAAUGAAGAUUUCACAGACUGCAAAAGAUGGAUAAAUGCAUGUCACAGAGCAAACAAUAUGGCCACCUAGUUAAAAAAUCAAGUAACAAAAGAAGGUAUGAACAAGAAUAAACAAACAAACCUCAUAAUCAAGAAAUCAAAAGCAUAUCUUCUCAUGUAACACCAUCAAGAAAUCAAAAUCAUAUCCUCUUAAUACCAGGAAGUAAAUUAACAAUUUAACAUUCAAGAAACAUUUGUUCUUAGAAUCAACAAUGUAAGAUUGAAACAAAAAGGAUUUACUAGAUAUCACCAAAUCAAAACUUCAGGCUCUAUGCUGUGAAGGAUAUUAUUAUUUUGACAAACCAAACUGCAGUCUAAACCAACAAAAACAAAUAAUCAACCAGACAAAUCAUGAAACCGAAAGAAUCAAUCAAAAAUGAAUAAAGAAUGCAAAACAUGAAGACCAAACAAGAGGAAGAUACAUAUCACUAGAAGAAGUCGUAUGUUACAAAAUUACUUUUCCUGCAAGACCAAAGAGGGUAAAAACAGGUCAAGAAAUACAUGAUCUCAGAGAAUAAAGAAUUUUAAAAAAUGAAAAGAAUUUAUUACAGAUCACCAAAUCAAAACGCUAGGCUCCAUGCAUCAAGCAGGUAAUAGUUUAACAAACCACGCUGCAAGAAAACAUGUUGAAAAUUCAAUUUGCAUGUCUUGCAGUAAAAACCCAGAAAUUAAAGUAAUAAAGAACAAAUCAUUGAAUAAAUUGAUUUAUCUAUCUGGAGCCAUUCCGUAUGUUGUAUCAAGCCGUUCUAGUUAAUAAGACUUCUCAGCUUGCUGCAAAAUGGCCAAAUGUAUGUCGAUUAUCUAAUGAAGUUCAUGAUUCAAUUUUUAUGUAUAGCAUUAAAAUCAAUAAAGAACAAACACCAAGAUUGAAACUUCACAAACAUGAACCAGAAAUAAGAACACAAAAUUAUUGGAAGAAAGAUAGAACCAGAGUAAAGCGUGUUUAUUUCUCCUGAAAAACCAAAGAGAUUACCGAAUCAUAAAAAUAUUAUCUGAUUUAAUAGUAUACAUUAAAAAUAAUGAAGAAAUUUUGAAAAGAAAACUGAUUUAACAGACAUCACCAAAUCAGAUCCACGCUUAGUUUGACAAACCACCACGCUGCAGAAUAAAUUAAGAACAUGUUUAAAAUUCAAUUUGUAUGCCUUCCAAUCAAAUCAAAAUUAUUAAGAACUUAUUAAAGAAAUUUGAUUUAUCUAGCUGGAGCCGUUCUUGUCCCUUGUAUCAACUUAUCUAGAGGUUUCACUGCAAAACCGAUAAAUGAUCUCUCGAUAAGAAAUACUUUUAUAAAAAAUUUAAGAAAAUAAUAGUUAUCAAAUAAUUUAAAAUGAUUUUUUAUAUAAAUUUUUUUAAAAACUUUAAUGUAAAAGAAGAGUCAAGAGAAGUGUGAUUGUGUGAAGUUCUUGAUUCUUGACUGUUGUCUGUUAUAUCCCAACGAUCUCGUUUACAACAAACCCUGGAAUAAAGCAAUCACAGAGCAAAGAAUCAAGAAAGUGGAACACCAAAUCAAUCAUAAUUGCAUUCUCCAAAUUGACAAAGAAAGAUAGAACCAAAAACCCUUGCUAUGAAUAAAGAACGAAUCAUGGAUGAAAUUUAAUUUAUUCUUCUCUGUUCUUAUCCGUUGAAUCAACAAUUGCUGCAAAAAAACCAAUGAACACGUAUCUAGAUGAUCCAAAUAUGAAGAACUAUAUCCAAUAAUCAAAUAAUUAAUCAAAUUAAUCUUGAUAACCGAUAAUCCAUUGAGCGAGCGAUUUCUGUGUUCGCCGUUCGCAUAUGAAUAGCUAGCAAAACGAUCCAGAUUCCAAUCUUAAGAUCGCUGCAAACCGAUAAACACAUAUCCAUGUUAUUCAAUUAUGAACAACUAUAUCCAAUAAUCAAAUAAUUAAUCAAAUAUUCUUAAUAACCGAUGAUCCAUAAACUAGCGAUAGAUCGAGCGAUUUUGACGUUCUUCGUUCUCAUAUGAAUAGCAAAACCGAUGAUCCAGAUUCCAAACUUACAAUCGCUGCAAAACUGAUAAACACAUAUAUCGAUUAUUCAAUUAUGAAGAAUCAUAUCCAAUAAUCCAAAAACUAUACAACAAAUAAUUCUCGAUAAACGAUGAUCCAUCAAAACAAGUGUGAAAUUCUUCAUAUCUUAAAUCCGAAAAACGCAAAUCCAUAUCGAUCGAUCGAUCAACACGCAAAACUUUAUAAUCGAGAAAUCAAAAUCAUGAAUCAAAAGUAGAAUCGAGAAAUCAAAAUCAUGAAUCAAAAGUUGAACAGAAAAGAAGAAGAAAGGAGAAAGAGAGAACAAACGAGAGGAACGUAGAACGCGCUAUUUCGAGGCACUUUGGAAAGAGGGAACUUAUGAGGCUUAUAUAGAGGGUGGGGUCAAGUUUGACGGCUACGAUAACGCGUGUGGUGGAAACUUGGACGGUUAUGAUUGAACUAAAAUAAAACGGUUAACGCGUUUCCUUUCUAAAUAAGGCGGUGUGAAACACGCUUGAUGAUAAGAUUUAGUAGGGAGUCGUUGUUGGUUUGCGUGUACCGACUUAAAACUAAAGCUAUCUCUCUAAGAUAUAUAAAACGAUAAAAACUCCAAAAAUAAACAUUAUCCUUGGGUUAAAUUUAUUUUUACCUCCAUUAAAUAUAACAACUUCUAUUUUUAAUUCUUCACAAAAAAUAUUCCAAAUUCCAUUUUAUUUUUUAUUUUUUUGAUAGUAGUAUAAUAAUAACUAUAAAUUUAGGGGAAAUUUGUUCCCCUUCCCUGAGGUUGGGGAGAAACAACACUAAAACCCUUUUAGUUUUCAACUGAAUGCAAAACUCUCGUAAAUUUUAUUAAAAGUGACAAAUAUCUUCUUUACCAUUAACAUUGUUAGUUGUCUGUUACUUCCACUUUCAUUCAGCUUCAACAUCCAUUCUCUCUCUCUCUCUCUCUCUCUCUCUCUCUCUCUCUCUCUCUCUCUCUCUCGUGAGCUCUUGAUGUUGCUUCAUUUCUUGCUUGAAAACUUCAUUGCUUUUAAGUAAAUUUUCUUCUCUGAUUCUUGCUUCCUCUAGCUUAGCUUCUGCAGAUGACUUGUAUUCCAGUAGUAGUAGCUUCUAUUCAAGAACUUCUUUUCUAAGCUGCUUGUUUUCCUUUUCCAAUGCAACAUUCCUUUGCAAUAAAUCCAGUUCAGUAGAGGCUGACUUGAAAUUAAUCUUAUUCAGCCAAGUUAAGUCCAAUUCCUUGGGAUGCACACCAAUAGGAAUAAAAUCAGUAGCAUUCCUCUCUCUUAAGCAUAAAGGAUUUUGCACCCAAGUUCUUAGAACUUUAACUGCUUGCAAAUUCUUAUAAACUCCUUUCAGCCAAUCUUGAAGCUUGUUUUGAGCAUAGUCUUGAGCAUCAAGACAUGUUCUCUGAAGCUCACUCAAGACAAAGUCUACUCUCUCUUUCAGUCUCUUCCAUUCCUUCUCAUAACUGUCCUUAUGCACCAGAUUAGUCUUUGCUAGAACCAAGUUGUUCAACUCUUGAAAUAUGUUCUCACACACAUCUGCUAAAAUAGAAGAAUCUAGAAACAGGGUGGAUGGAGAAGGGACAUUUGUUUUGGCAGGAGCACAAGGUUGAAUAGCUUGGUUGGAAGAUGAAGGUUGGUCAUUUGUGGAGUUAUUGGUUGGAAUAUUGAUCUCAGAAGUUUGACUAGAAAUAGAAGUUAUGACCACAGAAGAUGAGUUAAAUACAUCAACUUCAUCAUCAAAACCUUCUGAUGUGAUCAUAAAAUCAGGUUCAUUGAAAUUUUCAGGAAUAGAAAGAGACUCAAUAUAAUCAGAGACAUUUUGUUCAGGAACAGUUUGUUCAAGAACAGAGACAUCUGGUAAGGUAGUUGAGGCCAUUUGUACACUUGGUGCAUGUUGUUGGGGGCUUUCUAAAGCAAAUUCAUCAGAAGCUACCUCAUAGGCUUUUUCUAGGUUUGACCCACACCUGGUAAUUCACCAGAACAGUGAUUGACCAGAUUCUCUAAGACAGAUGUUUCUGAUGUUUGGUUUGUUGAAGAGGGAUGAGAUGAAGAUUCAAUUAUGUUGACAUGCUUAGGCACUUCUGAUUCAUUAACCACAUCUGCAUCAGCACGAACAAAACUCAAAGGUUUGAUCAUUGGUGGUUGGAAAGGGUGAUCAGCAUGCAGUCUUUCACAGACUUUGUUUCUCAUCUCAAACAUUUCUCCUAUCUUAUUGAGAAUAAAAGGAUAAACAGGAUCAUAGGGAAUCUUGUCAGCAGGCUCUUUGUGAAUUUUGGUGGUUGGUGAAGGGCCUUUGUUGAUAGUUGUGUAGAUUCUGCCUAGAGGGACAUUAUCAAGGUCUGAGGAAGUUGAGGAGGUUGAAAUUGAUGUUGAAUGAGAGGUUGAGGUUGUACUAGAUUUUAUAUUUAUGAUUUCAGUAGAGUGUAGAGAAUCAGGAUUACCUUUUGAAGCUUCUGGGAAAACAGCUUCUGAACAACCAGCAUUCUCCUCCUAAACACCUUCAGCAGAUGCCAUCAACAAACUUCCAGCUUCAAAUGCCACAAGUUCUUGCACAACUACAGCAGCUUUGAUAACUUCCUGAGCAUCUGCACCAACAUCUUCUCUUACAAUGUUGGAUGCAUGGACUUCAAUCUCCUGUGCUAACUCCAACACCUUCUGAAGUGUAGCAGCUGCAAUGUUAUCUUCCUCUUCCAUCACAUGAUCUGCUACCUUCAGUUUCCUGAUAGCUUGCCUUCUCUUCUUCUUUGGAAUUGAAGGUUGGUCAGGAGCAGAUUGGGAAGAAGUUGCAGCAGGUUGACCACUUCUAGUUCUCUUGGUUUAUCAGCCUCCAGAUCUUCAACGUCUUCUUGGAUAGUUGGUAUAGUAGGACCAACUAUGUCUUCCUGAACUAUAGCUCUUUCCUUCUUAGCUCUCUUGGCUUUCUUUGCAGUCUGUUCAGGAGCAUCAUCCAAAUACUCUUCUUUGGUGAGUGCUUUCCUCUUGGUCUUUCUGCUCUUUGCUACUGGUAGGGGACCACCAUACAUGGUUCCAGGAACAUCUUCAAGCCUUAUCUUCUUACCAGUCACAGCAAAGUGAUCUUUGAUAAAGUUCAUCUGAACAUCAAGAGAAUCUUGUUUGCAGAUAGGAGGAAAGUCUUCCAUCAUAAUGGACAUUGCAUCAAAUUCCUUCAAAUCUGUGCUCAGCUUUUUAUAAGGAUCCUUUGCAAUCAAGCUCAUGUUCCUGAGUGUCUUCCCAUUGAUGACCUUGCCUGUUUCUGUAUUAAGUUGCUCAUCAAUGAAGAAGUUGAUAUCCUUCAGAGCUUUCAGAAUCCCUCCUUGAUGAAGAAUCUCUAAAAUAAGCCUUCCAUAGGGAACCCAGCAUCUUUUGUUUUCUUGGCUUUCCCUGAGCUCUUUAAUCAUAUGCUUGAAGAUGUAUCUGGGCACAUUUGCUUUUUCCUUCGUUAUGAAGAAAUGAGGGAAAAUUCUAUGCUCCAAAGAGGGUUGAUCACUACCACCACCUUUUGGUAGAAGAUUUUCAUUCUGAAUCUUCAGAAUCAUCUUCUUCUCCAUGCUCAAAUCACUGUAAGCACCUUUCUUUGUGUUGUUGAACAUGGACUUGUGGACUACUUCAUUCCAAGGGCUAGUCUUGUUGUUACCUACACCACCUUUGAAACUUACUUUAGAAGCUCUAAUGAUAACAAAGGCAAUAGCAUCUUCAGAGAUGAAAACAGGGACGCCCAUGAUGCUUGACCUGAUUUCUGUCCAUGUAAAUGGUUCCAAACCCAUUUCUUCUUGUGAUUUUCCUUCCAGGGUAGGAUCAAUCAAAACUUUCUCUAUUUCUUCCAGCAGAGCAGCCUUCAUAUCGUAAACAUGCGCUCUGACCCAGAAGUGCCUGACAAGGGUCUUGUAUGUUGGGCCAUUCUACAUUUUGAAGUAUUCCAUAAGACCUUGAGCUUCGUAGUUGCCUCUGAUGUCACACCCAUGGUAUGCUAAUGAAAUAAAAUCCACCGGAUUCUCAAUUUGAAUCUUAAGAUGCCAUUCUUCUAAGGACAUGGUCCUCCCUUUGAUUUCAUACGCAGGUGCUUCUUGCAUGCUUGUUGACGUUUCAAGAACUGAACUUGAUGACGCCAUUGAUGAGUAUGAAGAUUUAGGGUUCUAGGGAUUUGAAUGAGGAAGAAUGCGUUUUACUUCGCAAAGAAUCAGUGAGAAAUAGAAAAUGUAGGUUGUGAAGUGAGUAGUGUGUGAUUUGUCUAAUUGUUUUGAGUAAAAACGUUUGCAAUUCAGAAAAGGGACAAACAAACACAUCAUUAAUGACAUAGGGGGCGCGAGAUAGUACAUUCAAAGCUAAAAAUCAUCAUUGCCCUCUUAAGUCAUACACCAAUACAAAUAAGCCACGUCAGAAGUUUUUCAAAGUAACUUCUAAGUUAGUGGGACAGGUGUUACUAAAAAGUAACUUCCAACAUUUCCACUAAUACUACUUGUUCAGGAGCAAAGAAUUCAGCUACUGAAGUUAAAGUGCUGACGUCAUCUUCAGAAGCACAUUUUCCUCAGAAUCUCAGUUAAGAGCUUCUGAUGGACCAUAGCUUCUGAACAGACUUCAGGACCAAACUUCUAGUUCAUGAGCAAGCAAAUUUAAUCAGACACAAAGUGCAUGUUCAAGGUUUUCUUAAUAAAAUCAAAUCUUUCCACAGAUAAAGGCUUAGUAAAUAUACCAGUCCAUUGAUGUUCAGUAUCCAUGAAUUAUAUUGUAUAUCUAAGAUUCCUUUUUGAACAUAGUCUCUAAUAAAGUGGUGUUUGAUAUCAAUAUGCUUGGCUAUUGAAUGUAGAAUAGGAUUCUUUGACAAACAAAUAGCAGCAGUAUUAUCACAAUAAAUGGGAAUACUGUUAGCAUUUAUCUGAUAGUCUUCCAACUGAUGUUUCAUCCAAAGCAGUUGUGUACAACAACUUGCAGCUAAGAUGUAUUCUGUAAUGCCCUAUUUCUAUUAAAGCGAUAAAACACACGAAUAAAAUAAAUAUUCAAGAAAUAGACACUACGUCUUCAACAAAAACCAAACAUGCAUGCAUAUAAAAAUCCUCAACAGUCGCAGCGGAUAUAAAUCAUACAUCUCCAAAGUAUACAUGCCAUGAGAUCAAAAUACAUCAUCAUAUAAAUUCUCCAAAUCCCGACAAAUGGGCAAAUCUCCACAACAUAAAUAAAUCCAGAAUAAUCAAUCUAGAAUAAUCAUAAAGACAGACAUCCUAGAUCAGAGCCUACCCUAAGACUCAAAGGAAACGAUAACGGAGAUAGCUCCCGCUAUCCAAGCAAUCAUCAAGAAACUCACCAAAAGCAAACUAGUCAUGUACUUUGUCUACUCAUCCAUACAGACAGGUAGGCGGUCCAUCACAGAUCCACUGGAGGUAAGCUUCACAUCAAUCAUAAUCAACAUAAAUAAACAUAGGCAUUCAAGGAUUCAUGCAUAACACAUAUACAUAAUCACCCCUCCUAGAAUACUAGCAUCAUAUGAUUAUUAUCCCCCAUCACAUACAUUCCAAGCUAUCAAAAUACUAACAUAGCAUAGCAACAUAUUCAAUCACUAAUCAAGUCAUCGACAUAAUCUCAUCAUUCAUCAACAACAAUCAAGAAAGGAUUAAUCACAUUAUUCUUCAUUUAGCAUACUAAGCUCAACAAUACAUUUCAUCAUUUCAAAGUUAUAAGCAAGUAAUCAUCAUUAUCAAAGGAAUCAUCACAUCAUAUAUAUGCACAUAUACAAUUCUCACCUCAUCACUGUCACCAAAAUAAUUAUCAUCAAAUACAUUCACCAAGUGUAUAAGCACGAGCAAGUAAGAUAUGCAAUUAAAGCAUAAUUCAAUUAUUCACAACCGUCAACAAAAUCCAUCAAUGUACAUAUACACCAAUUCACAUAUUCAUAACAUUCACCGAAUUCCACCAAUGCACAAAUUCAUCAAGUCACAUAUUCAAUUAUGACACGCCUCAUCAAUUACUAUAAUGCAUGCAAUGUUCUAGACUCUUCUAGAUGCAUGCGGUACCGUCAACAACAACGUCUAGGUCGUCACCCCAGGAUGCCAACUGCACAUCAUAUGUAAGAGUACACCUCCUCUUAUGAACAACUAUGUAAAAGUACACCUCUUUUUACAUUUCUCAUAUGACUAUGAUGCAUGGACAUACAAGCAAAGACUCAAUAAUGCAAAAGCAUACAUUCACCAACAACAAUGUAAAAGUACACCUCCAUUUACAUUGAUCAACUUCAACAACAAUUGCAUUAUCAAUUAUUUACGUCCACACAAUCAAUCAAGUCAUAAUUCAAUUAAGAGUCAUCACCACACCAUCACUUAACAUAUAUGCAUUCACCGAAAAUAUCACACUCAAUUAACAUAUAUAUAUUUUAACGCCCGUUUUGAUUAUUUAAUUAUGUUGUUGAGUUUAGAAUAUAUUUAUAUGAUUUGUGUGAUUUAUGUGAUUUAAUGAGGUGUUGUGACUUAUUUUAUUGUUUAAUAAAAUAAGAUUUGAAAAUAAAAUAAAUAUUGAGUUGAGGGGUUGUUUUGAGAUUUUAGAGAGUUUUGUGGGUAAAAGAGGAAUAAAAUAAAAUAGAUGGGAAGAGAUAUAAAUAGGUGAGGGUUAGGUUUAGAAAAGUUUUUUUAACGUACGAUCAAUUUUGGAGAAAAGGGAUAAAAGUCAAGAGAAGAUAAGAGGACCAAAGAGAGGCUGCGAUUUCGAUUUUCUAAGGUAAGGGUGAGACUAACAUUCAAUCUUAUUAAAUCUGUAAUUCUGAUGGUUGUAUUUAACAAGUGUAGGAUUGUUUUAGAGAAGUUGGAAAUUAGGGUUAAAGUGAGAAAUUGAUGAUUUAUUGAUGUAGAAUUGUAGAAUUGAUGUAGAAAGUGUUUACAGACCUUAGAUAAUCCAUAGGAUGAAAUCUGGAAUCAAUGUUAAGCUUAAAACCAUGCCUUUAGGUGGAUUUUCGUGAAAAUCUGCAUUCUGCCCGAGCCAACAUUCAUCGCUCGCCUCCCGAGUGAUGAUCCUCGCCCUCGCGAGGGAUGAUCUUCAUCGCUCGCCUCGCGAGUAACACCUUGCAACUCGCCAUAGCGAGCAGAUCACUCGCCAUAGCGAGUAUGACCAGUGAGAAACCUGAUUUGUGAGUUAACUCCUUAAGUCGAACUUUAGAUGUUUUUGAGUGCCUGAAUAUGUAUAAUAAUGAUUAGGCAAGUUUUUAGAUUGAGAUUGAACCUACGAAAGUUUAAAAAUGGAUUUUUGGGUGAAAAAUGUCAAAUUCCCGAGAGCACCCAGUUUCUUGUUUGCCAAGGUGAGUCGCUUACUCGCCAAGGCGAAUGCCAUUUUCCUGAACUCGCCAUAGCAAGUAGAGGCUCUCGCCUCGCGAGCCCUUGUGAGACAGAACUCCUUGUUAGGUUAAAUGUGACCUUUAUCGCACGAGUUGAUGUGAGUUGAUCACGGGGGUAAGAAACUAAGUUGCUUAUCUUACUGUUGUUGUUUCAGUGAGCCUGAAUUAUAUGAUUUGAUGUUGUUAAUAAUGUGAUAUAAAUGUAUAUGCAUUACAAGAAUUAUAUAUGAUGUUUGAGAUGUUGUUGAUUUGCAUUUGAUAUUGUUAUAUCAUGAACCGUUUUAUGUACUGCCUAUGUUGUUGUUUGUUUAUUAACUAAGCUGCAUGAGUCGGUCUAAGAUGAAAGAUGUUGUUCCAAAUUAUUGGAUUUAUAUAAGAGGUCGUUUUUUCUAAGAUGUUAAGUUGUUGAGUCCAUGCAUACUCAUUCAUUGUUGGGGGCUUGAUGCCCUGGAGCCUUCGCAGAGUUUUGGCGCUUUCAAAUUGUUGUAUAGUCUUGCCAUUCUUUAAGUCUUCACUCCUUUAUAUAGAGGUGUGAAAGAGACGUUGUGAAUUGCCAACACAUCAAAAUAGAGUCGUUUGAAGCUUUGAUCAAUCACUAAAGAUCUUUUACCUAAUAAGGUUAUUGUCCUAUGAAGGAUCAAUUUCAAAUCCAUUCCCAGUAUGUAGGAACAUUGUUGGAGGCAGAGCUGUUAUCCUUGUCUUGUGGCAGAGACAAAAACUGAGUAGUGGAGAUAGUGGUUGUACAAUUCGUACAAUUGUACUAUGUCAAUGCUCUUCAAAGAACAAGCAUCUAAUGCUUUCAAAUCCUUUCAAAAUAGCUGUUGCUUCACUCCUGCGGUCUUUUGCAAUGCUUGGACGAGAUUGAACCAUUGAACAACCUUUGAAGCUUUAAGUCUUGCAUCUCUUGAUGAACUUCAGCUUCUGGUGAUCUUGCUUCUGAUGAGAUGCUUUUGAUGAACUUGCUUCUAAUAACGUCAUCACUUCAGAAGCACUUUGACUUCAGGCACACUUCUCUUCAGAUGCUUCAAGCUUCCUUUUUGUUGAUUCCUUUGCUCUCUUUUGUUCUUCCAGAACCUAAUAAUGAUAUCAAAAUUUUCUCUAUGGUCAUGUACACUUGAAAAAAUAUUAUUAUAUCUAAUUGACAACUUUUAAUACCUUGUUAUCAUCAAAACUCUCAAAGGGUAAUGUUAAACACAUUUAUUUCCAACAUGGAAUACCACAUCAAAAUCCAAUUUCAUCACUAAAUCCCAAUAUUAAAGCUUCUAAAAUUAAAGCUUAUUAUGAAACUCACCUCAAAUGCAACUUCCAUUUAUACAAGAAGCUUCAAAGCUCUCUGUCUCUUUUAAAGCUACUGCUCAAGCUUCCUUCAAUUCCUUACCUUCAGUUCUUGCUUCUAAACACCAAUAUAAGAUACAACAUGUUGAGGCAAAAUCCCUAAUUAAUUUUAAAGAUAAUAAACCAUUAUGAUUAAAGAAUUAAUGGACUUUGAUUUAUUCAUUGGUAUUUAACUUGUUCUCUUGAGUGUUUUACUAAGACAGGAACAAGGUUUAAAUCAUACUAAGAUUCAAGAAAUCAAAGGACAUUGGAAUUCAUGAUCUAACACUGAUGUCAGAAAGUUAGAUCAGAAUGUUGCUCAGAGAUCAGAAUGUUCAAGCAGAGAUCAGAAAAUUGUUCUUAUACAAGUCAAGAAUCUCAAGAACAUUGAUCAAGAUCAUGCAAGGCACAUGUGAUAUGGAUAAAUUUCCAGGAAGGUACAUUUGCAUGGAUCAAUCAAGCAACAAAGGCAUAUACAAAGAUUAUGUCAAAAAGGAUACUCAAUGUUCAUUUAAGACUAUGAACAUUGAAGUACUGGGAAUAUUCCAAAAGGGAAUAUCAUCCUAGAUGUUGAAGUCACUGCUCUUCAUUGUUGUUUCAUUAUUAGGAUUUGAUUACAUCAAAUGGUAGUCUUACAAAUCAUCCUAAGUGAAACAAAAGGAACAUUCUGAUGGUCAGAAUGUUCAGCUCUGCACAUGCUUACUUUAUGAACAGUACAGUAGGUGAAAAGGCAAAAAGAAAAAACAAAGCAAAUAUGUCCUGUUCAACAACAAAUAGAUACGCAUGAGAGUUGCUACAGUACAUGGACCACACAAUCUCUCAAAGUAUGAGCAUGAAGAUGCAGAAUCCACUUUAUCUCUCCUGCGCCAGUCCCAAGGCAAAUCUGGGAAAAUAACUUUCUGAUGUAUGUGGAAAAGCCCAUACUUUGAUUACUGCCCAGGAAUUCAUAUGAAAAGCAUAUGACACGCCCAGAAAUUCAUGUGUUCAUUCACACAUGAUGAACCCAUAUGAAGAUCAUCAAGAACACAACAACAUUCUGAAGUUCAUCCUUGAUCAGAAUGUUCACCAAGAAUUUCAAGUAAAAGCUUUUGGGACCCACACAUGGCAUAACACCAUUGGACACCCUACAACGGCUAUAUGAGCCCAAAGACUCUAUAAAUAGAGAUCAAAGGCUCAACAUUACUUGCACCAUUGCAAAGCAUACAAGAAAACAACUGAAAUUGUUUGAAGCUCUUGCAAUUGAAUUAAUUAUCACUAAAGGCUUUUUUUACCUUCUUUGUAGUGUAAAUCAAUUCUCUUUGUUAUCUUUGUUAAAGAUAACUUCUUCUUCCUCCUCUUAUGUUUGAUUCUCGAACAUGCAAACCUCUUACAAAUUGUAAACAAAGUCUCAUCUAGCUUUAGGGGUACUAAAGUGUUAGUUUGAGCUUAGUUUGUAAAAGUCUAAGUGGUUAACUUAGCAACAAGGUGCAAACCUGCUGAGGAUUAGAGAAUAGUGAGGAGUGGACUAACCCACAUUGGGUGAACCACUAUAAAUCGCUGUGUGUUCUUUCUCUCUUCCCUAGACUCUUUAAUUACACUUGUACACUUACUUUAUUAAACAGUUUUUUGUGUAUGAACAUUAGAACGUUCUGAAGUCAUAAUAUUAACUUAAAUUAUGUUAACUUGUUUUGAAUUUGUAAUAUCCCGCUUCAUUAUGACAGCAACAUCAGUCUAGAAUACCACAUCAAAAUCCAAUUUCAUCACUAAAUGUCAAUAUUACAAAUUCUAAAAUUAAAGCUUAUUAUGAAACUCACCUCAAAUUCAACUUCCAUUGAUGCCAAAAGCUCUCUGUCUCUUUUAAAGCUUCUGCUCAAACUUCCUUCAAUUCCUUCCCAUCAGUUCUUGCUUCUAAACACCAACAUAAGGUAAAACCAUCAUCAAUAGAUUACAUGCAAGCCAAUUAUCAAGCUCAAGAUAAAACUUUCCAAAACAGCAUGUGAAUGAUGAUGGUACAGCUGGGGAAGAAAAGAAAGCAAUUAAGUUUGUUUUAGGGAUGAAAUAGUGUGAAGAUUGUGAUAGUUUCUUUGCAUGUUGGAUUGAUAUAAGAGAUUGAGUGGAAAUUUUUGAUGUUUGGAUGGGAGAAGUAUGGGGGCCGAGCCAAAAAGAGAGGAGGAGGGAGAGAGAGACUCUGUACGUGAGAGAGAAUUGGAAGGAAAAAGAUAAGAAGAAAAAUGUGGUUUAGCUCUUUUAUAAUCUUUUGAUAAAAUUAUUACCACGAUGCCCUCCUCUUAAGAUGUUUUUCAGUCACAGUUAAAAGGACACUGCAUUCUAUCCGGAAUUAAGCGGGAUAUUACGAAUUCAAAAUAAGUUAACAUAAUUCCCAAUGAAUAAUAAGUCAAUUAAUUCAUAUAUACUAUUCAACAAUGAGAUCUAAAACUUAGAUCCAAAUUUUGUUACGAUGUUUCAAUGUUGUGCACAUAGAAGAAAUUCAAUUUGACUUUUCAUUAGAUUUGAUCUAGUGUAGCCUUUGUGUAAACGAGAAAUUUAUCUUUGAUGCCCUUUUAAAACAUUUUUAUUGAAAUGUGAAAUUCAAUCAAAUCGACGAAAUACCAAAUGCAUUGAGAAAAAUAUACAUUAAUCAUAUACAUUUGAUACUUCGUCGACUGAUUGAAAAUUCACCUCCAACAAAUGACUGAUGAUGGUAACAUACGAUAAGGAUUAAUCUGAUGAGUCACCUUUUUUAGCCCUGAAUAAAAAGAAGAUGGAGAAAAAACAUGGUGACAUAGAUAAAAUAAAAUCUACAUAAUACACAGAUGAAAAACAAAAUUUCUACUAACAUAAAAUACAAGUACCUAGGUAUUUAUAGCAUCAAAUAUUAACUUUUUUUAAUGGUGGAUUUAAGUUUUUAACUUAUUUUAUAUGAAAUUUAUAAAAAAAAAAAUCAAGCUUCUAGAAUGCUAAAAAGGUUUAUAAUAAAUAAUAAUAAUAAUAAUAAUAAAUAUAAAACUAUAAAAUAAAAAUAAAAAUAAAAAUGAAUUGAUAAUACGUUUUUUCUUUAAACUUAUUUGACUAAAAUUUAAGUAUUCUAAUUAUUAAAAAAUUAAAUGUGUUGAAAACCGAAGUCAAAUCAAGACCCAACUCAAGCGGUCAAUGUAUAAAAAAAGAAGUCAACAACAUUUAUUAUAAACAAAAGGAAAUUUAUUUUGCUUAGAUUGGAUUUGAUCGGUUGUCACAGUCAAAAUAAGGUACUAAAAAUUGAUCCUUUAUAAACAAAAGGAAAUUUAUUUUGCUUAGAUUGGAUUUGAUCGGUUGUCACAGUCAAAAUAAGGUACUAAAAAUUGAUCCUUUGCGGCUGCAUUAGGGGGUUCUCGCUCUCCUCCGACGGAAGAACCUCAUUAUUCGGUACCUUGCAUUAAAGGUGAUUCCCUUUCCAUACGAAUAUGCCAGGAUGAAUACGUUAAAGGUCUGGAAGAUUGUCAAUAUGCAUUACGUGGGAGACUAAUCUUGUCUAAAGGCGACAAACCUUACACCGCUCGCGAUUUAGCCUCCAAACUUGGCAAGAUUUGGAAGAUUAUCCAUCAAUGGAAGAUGGUUAAUCUUGGUCAGGGUUUCUACGAUUUUUUAUUUGAAAAUCAUGAUGAUUUUAAUCGGACUUGGACAGCGGGUACAGUUUCACUACAACCAGGGCUCCUUCGCCUCUCCCAAUGGACGAAGGAUUUUAACCACAACGCUCAGACACAAACACACGCCUCUUUAUGGAUCAAACUUGUAGUGUUGCCUCAGGAGUAUUGGCGCGAAAGAACAUUGAAAGAAAUUGCGAGUGCGGUGGGUACCCCUAUUUCUAUUGAUGGACCGACACGUAAUAGAGCUUUCGGACACUAUGCACUCAUUCUUGUGGACAUUGACUUAUCGAAGCGGGUUUAUGAUGAAAUCCUUGUUGAACGGGAGGGGUUUGCUUUUAACGUAGAAGUGCAAUAUGAAAGACGCCCUUUGUUCUAUCAUUGGACAUAAUGUCAUGAAUUGUAAGAGGUUGUCAAGGUCCCUGACCGUGGGAAGAAGCAGGUUACUGAUGCAGCUAGCAAUCCACCGCUUGUUGGGAAGGGAGCUUCUUCAUCAGGCACACUAUGUUAUGUUCCCUUACCAACAGCUGCUGAGACACAUGUUGUUGUUCCCACACCAACAGCUCAUGCACACGCUGUUGUCCCCCCACCAACAGCUGAGACAUGUGCUAUUGUUUGUAACGCCCUAUUUAAUUAUUAGAUUAUUUUAUUGAGUUUAGAGUCUAUUUAUAUGAUUUAUGUGAUUAAAAUGAUUAUGUGGUGUGUUGUUAUUUUAUUAAGUGGUGUUAUUUUAUUAUUUAAUACAAUAAGAUUUGAAAUUAAAAUAAUAUUGAGAUGAGAGGCUGUUUUGAGAAUUUAGAGAGUUUAGUGGAAUAAGUGGAAAUAAGAUAAAGAGGGUUGAGGAAAUAAAUAGGAGAAAACCUAAGUCAGAAUAGUUUUCACGUGAAACAAAACGUUUUGGAGAAAAAGGGAGAAAACAAGAGAAGAGAAGAACCGGAGAGAUCGUAGAGCUUCGUUCAUCUAAAUUAAGGUAAAGGUGAGGCUAAAUCUCAAUAAUCAUAGUGUAUGUGAAUUCUGAAAUUGAUUUAACAUGUGGUUGUUUAUGAAUUUUGGAAUUAGGGUUAGAAUGUAGAAUUGAAUUGUGGAAAGAAGUAGAUAAUCUGAUGGAUGUGCAUUAAGUAUUCUAAGUAUUAAAAAAUUAAAUGUGUUGGGGGUUUAUGCUCCGGAAUGCUUAGUCAUUCAAACACGUUAAAAUGGUACCACAUGCAUGUGCAUUGACGCAUUUGUCGUUGUGUCGUUGCAUAGUCGUUGUUGUUGGUUGAGUUGUAGUCGUUGUUGUUGGUUGAGUUGUUGUCGUUGUUGUUGUCGUUGUUGUUGGUUGAGUUUGUAGGUGUUGUUAAUAUUGAUGAAGUAUGAAACAAGACUAUUGAAUUAUCCGUUGUUAAUUAGGUUGUUAAAUACAGUUGAUGAUUUAUAUACCUAUUAUUAUUGUUUGUGAAUCUCACCCCUUCUGCUUGAAAAUGUUGCCCUUCGUAUGGGUAACUUGCAGGUGAUCGAGGAUAGUUGCUGUUAGUUGUUGUUAGUUGCUGUCGUGAGUGGACCUCCUCUCACGUGUGUCUUAGGUGCUCUGAUAUGUAACGGGAUGAGAAAUAUUGUCGUUGUAUUCAUCAUUCCUUAUGUAUCAUUAUGAACCUGUUGGUGUUGGAUUAAAUCCUUAAAGAUAAUUAUGUUGAGGCCAUGUGCCAAAUUUAUUGAAAGUUGUUUAAUGUUGAAAAUAAUUCCGCUGCGAUGAAUUGAUAUGUUUUACCAAAGUUAUUAUUUAAUAAAUAUGAUUUUAUUCUAUUUAUGAAUUUUUGAAAAGCAGUGUGACAUUCCGUUUGUUGAUUAACUCUGAUUUUACUUAAUAUUUACGUUGUUGGGUUAAUGGGGUGUUACAUUGUUCCCCCAACAGCAGCUGCCAUCCCCAAUAAUAUUGCAACAUCUGUUGUCCCUCCACCAUCAGCUGCAGCCGGUGAGGCAGCAGGUACCACUUGUAGCAACUUGCAAGGUUUUUCUGAACCUAUUCCUCAAGGUAAUCUACCUCGGCCUAAUACACAUGUUUUGGAGCUAGCAGAAUCUGUGAUGAAUGAUGAUGUGCAACGUUCAUCCGAGACACUUCCGGUUAAUCAAAAUAAUAUUUAUGUUGAACACGGCGAAGAACAGGAUGAUGAUGAUGACAUUGAUUUUUUUAUUGAUGAAGAUGGUAUUGCAACAGCUGCACCGAAGACUACUACUACUUCCAUCCCUCUGGUUUUGGCAGCAGUCCCAGUACCUGAUCCUUUGGUGGCUGCCUCGACGGUGGGCUCUCAGGAUGAUAACGCUUUAUCCAUUGCCGUCCCGGAGAAACACAACAAUGAUAGAGUUCAACAUGAUAUGGAACUUUGUGAAAAAGAGUAUGAUAUGCAGGUUGAAGCUCUUUCUGGGUCACGCCCUUCCUUGGCGUCACCGGUUGUUGUAGAGAGGUCUCUUGAAGCUAGCGCUAGCAUGACAAUACCAGAAGCUCAAGAGGUUGUAGUUUUACAACAACAACAUGUACAUCCCAUCAAGAACAUUCAACACGGCCUAGAUCUAUGGGACAGAGUUCGUGAAUAUGAUGCAAGGUCAGCUGCAGAAGAUUUCACACCGGUCCUUACAAGGAAGCAGAAAUAGAAAAUUAAAGUGCAACAAGUCUUGGCUAAGCAGCCCCCUAAAACCCGUGCCCGGGGUGAUAAUCAUCAGACUGCUCAAUGAAUUUCCUCCAUUGGAAUGUUAGAGGUAUCAGUAAUUAUGAUACUCGGAUUGCUUUAAAAAUUUAUACAUGUCUCAAAAAACUGUUCUGAUUUUUAUUGAGGACCUAGCAUGGGUCACUCAGUGCAAAGAACGGUUUGACUAUCUUCUCUCCCUAAUGAGUGAUUUCUUUAGGGAUAGAUGUGGUUUACCCAACGACAUAUUUCCAUAAUUUGUUUUACGGUGUUUUUUGUUGAUUCCUUUAUUCUUGCUUUCUGUUUUUUCUCUAGAGGGUUUUGGUCUAGUCCCCCCUCCUUUGUAUUUAUUUUCCCCCUUUUUUUAAUAAAUUUUUUAGAGUUUGGCAGCAUAGGAUGGAGAUUUCUCACGGUGCCAACCAAGUUGGGAUGUCGAUGUUGCCUCUUGAUGUCUGUCCAUUCUCCUUGCUUAUAAAAAAAUUAUUAAAAAAUUAAAUGUGUUGAAAACCGAAGUCAAAUCAAGACCCAACCAAGCGUCAAUGUAUAAAAAAAUGAAGUCAACAACAUUUAUUAUAAACAAAAGGAAAUUUAUUUUGCUUAGAUUGGAUUUGAUCAGUUGUCACAGUCAAAACUAAAAAUUGAUCGAGUCUAUUUAAGAAAAUAAGGUUUUUAUUUUAUUUUUAUAUUUUCGUCCGGUUGGUGAACUUUGCAAUGGAUGUGAGAAAUCAUAUUUUAAGGCAUCUAACUAAAGACCUCCUAUUAGCGAGUAUUCUUGUACGCAUUGUACUCAAUUCCAUAUUAAACAUGCCACGAACAAUCCAAAUAAAUGGACCGAUGAAUCUAUACCAGAAAUAGAUUAUAUCUAUUCAUGUUAUAAUUUAAGAUUUCACUAGGUAAUUUUGAUUGCAUUAUAACUAUAAGCCUUUGAUUUUUUAAUACAUGAAUUGAUUGCGGAAACAUUACAACUAUUUAAUUUGACUAUAUGCUUUGUUAUCUUAUUUUUGUCAAAAAAAUUAAAUUUAAACUCAUAUCAUAAAAUAAUGAAUGCAACUUGAUAAUAUAUAUUACAAUCACAAAAACUUAAAUAUUAUUCCAUAAACCGAAGACUUAACAUAAUUAGCUUUAGUAAAAAAUCUACUCUCGAAACUCUCUUUUACACGUAAAUAAGCAUUAGGUAAAAAAAAAUUGCUUUUGGUUUUUACUGUUUUUUUUUCUACAUGUGUUCGACAAUAUUUUUUUUUUCUAAGCCAGGAUAUUGGACAGGCAUCAACGGGAAGCAACGACAUCCCAACUAAGUGGCACCCCGCAGAACCCCCAUCCUAUACCACCAAUCUCAGAGAAAAUUUUGUUAAAAAAGGGGGAACUUUAAUUAACUUUUUCCCGAUUCACAUUUCUUAAAUUAACUCAAUUCUUGCAUCCAUUGUUCGUUUUUUCCCAUUAAGCACUUCUGAUUCAUUCCAAAACAGCUCAUUCAUCAAAAACUAUGCCAAAACCUGUAAGCAGCUUUCUGCAGAAUUUACCAAACUUCAAAUGCGUUUUUCGAAUCCAUUUCUAAUCAGAAUCAUACCAAAUCUAUAUCCAAACUGAAGGGAAUCAAAUGUAGAAAUAAAAAAUUCAACAAUUAUACAAGUAUGGGUUACACAUCUAAAUUUAAAGCUUAUUAUGAAACUCACCUCUAAUACAACUUCCAUUGAUACCAAAAACUUCAAAGCUGUCUGUCUCUUUUAAAGCUUCUGCUCAAACUUCCUUCUAUUCCUUCCCAUCAGUUCUUUCUUCUAAACACCAACAUAUACAACCAUCAUCAAUAGAUUACAUGCAAGCCAUUUAUCAAGCUGAAGAUAAAACUUUCCAAAACAACAUGUGAAGGAUGAUGGUACGGCCGGGGAAGAAAAGAAAGCAAUUAAGUUUGUUUUAGGGAUGAAAUAGUGUGAGGAUUGUGAUAGUUUCUUUGCAUGUUGGAUUGAUAUAAGAGAUUGAGUGGAAAUUUUUGAAGUUUGGACGGGAGAACUAUGGGGGCCGAGCCAAAAAGAGAGGAGGAGGGAGAGAGAGACUAUGUACGUGAGAGAGAAUUGGAAGGAAAAAGAUAAGAAGAAAAAUGUGGUUUAGCUCUUUUAUAAUCUUUUGAUAAAAUUAUUACCACAAUGCCCUCCUCUUAAGAUGUUGUUCAGUCACAGUUAAAAGGACACUGCAUUCUAUCCGGAAUUAAGCGGGAUAUUACGAAUUCAAAAUAAGUUAACAUAAUUCCCAAUGAAUAGUAAGUCAAUAAAUUCAUAUAUACUAUUCAACAAUGAUAACUAAAACUUAGAUCCAAAUUUCGUUACGAUGUUGCAAUGAUGUGAACAUAGAAGAAAUUUGAUUUGACUUCUCAUUAGGUUUGACCUAGUGUAGCCUUUGUGUAAACGAGGUUUGACCUAGUGUAGCCUUUGUGUAAACGAGAAAUUUAUCUUUGAUGGCCUUUUAAAACAUUGUUAUUGAAAUGUGAAAUUCAAUCAAAUCGACGAAAUACCAAAUGCAUUGAGAAAAAUAUACAUCAAUCAUAUACAUUUGGUACUUCGUCGACUGAUUGAAAAUUCACCUCCAACAAAUGACUGAUGAUGGUAACAUACGAUAAGGAUUAAUCUGAUGAGGCACCUUUUUUAGCCCUGAAUAAAAAGAAGAUGGAGAAAAAACAUGGUGACAUAGAUAAAAUAAAAUCUACAUAAUACGCAGAUGAAAAACAAAAUUUCUACUAACAUAAUAUACAAGUGCCUCCAUGAAUUUAAACAAGUACCUAGGUAUUUAUAGCAUCAAAUAUUAACUUUUUUUAAUGGUGGAUUUAAGUUUUUAACUUAAUUUAUACGGAAUUUAUAAAAAAAAAUUCAAGCUUCUAGAAUGCUAAAAAGGUUGAUAAUAAAUAAUAAUAAUAAUAAUAAAUAUAAAACUAUAAAAUAAAAAUAAAAAUAAAAAUGAAUUGAUAAUAUGUUUUUUCUUUAAACUUAUUUGACUAAAAUUUAAGUAUUCUAAUUAUUAAAAAAUUAAAUGUGUUGAAAACCGAAGUCAAAUCAAGACUAAUUUGAUCCUAAAAUUCUCUCUCUUGACAAGAAUAAUAAAGUCAUUGUGGAAUAAAAGAAUCAAAUUAAUUUUGGGUUCAAAGUUUUAUUUUUGUAGGUCAUGAUAUGUAUGUCUUGUUUUGGCUAUAUCUGGAGCUCUGGAUGUCCGUUUGAGGUGAUCUUUAACUCAUUGGAAAGCUUACGGAAUUCUCUACAUUUCGUCUGUUUGACUCAGGAGCUAUUCAAGCUAUAAAUUCAAGGUCGAAUUCUCUUGAGGAGGGAGAGUAUGAUGUGAUCCUAAAUUUCUCUCUCUUGACAAGAAUAAUAAAGUCAUUAUGGAAUAAAAGAACCAAAUUAAUUUCGCCUUGAGGAAUCGCCACAAUGGUAAGGAAUCCAUUGAUAAGAUUCGAUAAACUUGGUUCAAUCUAGAACCAAAAAGAAGCAAAGCUUCACAACACACAAAGUGUAUUUUUUUUUAUCAAAAUUCAACUUGUCCCCUUCAUUAUUUCCGCCCCCUUUAUAUAGGAAAUAAACUUGAAUGCUAAAAAGCUUACAAUCAUAGCAUAAUUUGUGUUAUAACUCCUUGGUGGCUAGUUAUUACAAAAGAGGUUACAAUUUAAUUGGAUCUUUAAAGUUGGUGGCUGAUCAAUGCAUGAGAAGGUUACAUAUUCAUUUUCACAUUGAUUUGUGAAGGCUUAUUAUGUCUAGACGUUACAAUUCCACAAACACCACCUUUAAUUCUUCAGCUAACACACUUUAACCACGUCUUCUACUUAUAGCUCAUUCUACACCACUAAAUAUUCCGAAUUUGCUUUUGAGUCAAACAGACGAAAUGUAGAAAAUUUCGUAAGCUUUCCAAUGAGUUAAAGAUCACCUCAAACGGACAUCUAGAGCUCCAGAUAUAGCCAAAACAAGACAGACAUAUCAUGACUUACGAAAAUAAACUUUGGACCCAAAAUUAAUUUGGUUCUUUUAUUCCACAAUGACUUUAUUAUUCUUGUCAAGAGAGAGAAUUUUAGGAUCACACCAAAGACCCAACUCAAGCGGUCAAUGUAUAAAAAAAGCAGUCAACAACAUUUAUUAUAAACAAAAGGAAAUUUAUUUUGCUUAGAUUGGAUUUGAUCAGUCGUCACAGUCAAAACUAAAAAUUGAUUGAAUCUAUUUAAGAAAAUAAGGUUUUUAUUUUAUUUUUAUAUUUUCGUCCGGUUGGUGAACUUUGCAAUGGAUGUGAGAAAUCAUAUUUUAAGGCAUCUAACUAAAGACCUCCUAUUAGCGAGUAUUCUUGUACGCAUUGUACUCAAUUCCAUAUUAAACAUGCCACGAACAAUCCAAAUAAAUGGACCGAUGAAUCUAUACCAGAAAUAGAUUAUAUCUAUUCAUGUUAUAAUUUAAGAUUUCACUAGGUAAUUUUGAUUGCAUUAUAACUAUAAGCCUUUGAUUUUUUAAUACAUGAAUUGAUUGCGGAAACAUUACAACUAUUUAAUUUGACAAUAUGCUUUGUGAUCUUAUUUUUGUUAAAAAAAAUAAAUUUAAACUCAUAUCAUAAAAUAAUGAAUGCAACUUGAUAAUAUAUAUUACAAUCGCAAAAAUUUAAAUAUUAUUCCAUAAACCGAAGACUUAACAUAAUUAGCUUUAGUAAAAAAUCUACUCUCGAAACACUAUUUCACACGUAAAUAAGCAUUAGGUAAAAAAAAAAAUUGCUUUUGGUUUUUACUGAUUUUUUUUCUACAUGUGUUCGACAAUAUUUUUUUUUUUCUAAGCUAGGAGAUUGGACAGGCAUCAAAAAGAAGCAACGGCAUCCCAACUAGAUGGCACCCCGCAGAACCCCCAUCCUAUACCACCAAUCUCAGAGAAAAUUUUAUUAAAAAAGAGGGAACUUUAAUUAGCUUUUCCCCGAUUCACAUUUCUUCAAUGAACUCAAUUCUUGCAUCCAUUGUUUGUUUUUUCCCAUUAAGCACUUCUGAUUCAUUCCAAAAUAGCUCAUUCAUCAAAAACUAUGCCAAAUCCUGUAAGCAGCUUUCUACAGAAUUUACCAAACUUCAAAUGCGUUUUUCGAAUCCGUUUCUAAUCCGAAUCAUACCAAAUCUAUAUCCAAACUGAAGGGAAUCAAAUAUAGAAAUAAAAAAAUUCAACAAUUAUACAAGUAUGGGUUACACAUCUAAAAUUAAAGCUUAUUAUGAAACUCACCUUAAAUGCAACUUCCAUUGAUGCCAAAAGCUUCAAAGUUGUCUGUCUCUUUUAAAGCUUCUGCUCAAACUUCUUUCAAUUCCUCCCAUCAGUUCUUGCUUCUAAACACCAACAUAAGGUAAAACCAUCAUCAAUAGAUUACAUGCAAGCCAAUUAUCAAAGCUUCUUGAAAUUAAAGCUUCUUGAAAUUCUGGCACGUUAGACUUACGAUGUUAUGUGCGAUGUUUCAACACAAGUUAUACAGAAACAAAUGUUGAAUAAAAUGUUUCGAACACUAAGCUACCACAAGACAAGAAAAAAAAUUCAAAGCAUAAAGUAAAAGGCACAGAGAGUUUGUUAACCCAGUUCGGUGCAACGUCACCUACUCUGGGGGAUACCAAGCCAGGAAGGAAAUCCACUAGUGUAGUUCGUAUUCAAUAGCUCUAAGCAAACUCCUCGUUUGCACUAAUGACCUAGGACCUACCCAUACUGACUUCAACCUAGGAACUUCUAGAUCUGAGAUCCCAUCUCAGUCCCUUACAACUGAUCACAGCCCCUUUGAUACUCAAAUAACAAAUACAAUCAAUAUGAAGUUACCUUCAAACAAAACAACUAAACACCGUACUUCACAGCUUAGGUGCAGUUUACAAACUACCUAACUCUUUGCUUAAAAGCUUCAGAGUAGUGCACAAUUUACAACUCAAACACAGUCCUAAACAUGCAUCAAGAUGAUACACGAAAGGCUCACAUAGACAGACUCAAAACCCUAGAUGAUCUAUUCUUCAAAUGACGGCUUGAAUCAUUCUCUAGGUCUUCCAGUCUUGUUUAAAUACUGAAGCAAUACGAGUCAGUAAACUUGUUGGGCUACAGAACAAUCCAGUGAUCCAUUUCAGGUACAACAGAACCAGAAAAGGAAACUCCUAAUAUGUAGACACAUAAUUAGGAACAUCCUGAUCACCUCCAAACUUUCCUAAGUAGAUAACACAAUCUUAGGAAAUCACAAACGAUCUGAUCCUGUGCUAAAAACACGCAGCUUGGCCAACAAGAAUAAAGGGGUGGAUUCCUUAAAUAAAAUAGCGCGUGCGAAAAACAAGGCAAGGUACAAGUCAACUGAACCAUGCCAUGAUGUUGACACAUCUUGUUCAACAUCUCACAUGAAUAUUUGUUUUAGGCAAAAGUGAAGCCAAUAUACAAAUAUCCAAGAAUCUCCCCCUUUGGCAAAUUUUUGGCUAAAACAAACUAAGGCCAGUCCAAUCAAAGUUGAGAGAUAACACGCAACCUUUUCUUCAAUCAUCACACAUAAUCAACCAUGAAGAAAGGUACACAUACUCAAAUUACCGAUAUAUACCACAAAAUAUAAAUCUUCAGUCACUUCAUAAUCUUCAGAAGUUGGAAGAGGUAUAUCACAGGUCUCAGAAUCUACUUUCAUAAUUUUUCACAAAUAAUCAUCAUAUGAAACAGUAGAUAAGAGAAAUAGGUACCAUACUAUAAAAUCAAAGCCUUGCACCAACGGAAACACAAGGAAAAAUAAAUUCUCAUUAAACAUGCAGAAGCUACCUAGAAUGUUCUAACCUUCCAUAAAACAUUCACAGAUACUGGAAAAAAUAAAUUUCCAUAUACACUUGCAACUGCAGAACAUUCACAGAAUCAAUCCCCCUCAAAGAUGCAACCAUUGAGUGAUUACUGACACAAACACUCCCCCUGAAUACAUGCAUAUAUAAACAGAAGCCUUCGAAGCUGACAGAUAUAACUUCUACUAGCACAUUAUAAGAACAGGCAUGCAUAAAAAAGAACACCAAAUCAGGAGUUCUUCAAACACAGGCACACAUUGCAGAGAUGUGUUCCAACAUCACCUGACACAUUAUCUGCUAAACAACUACCUGCUAAACAUACUCAGGCAUACAGGUACAAACACCCAAAGGUAUGCAGAGAUCAUCAUAGAACAUAGAACCAUACUAGCAUCUUCUUUUACUCCCCCUUUUUAGCCAUAAAAUGUGCUAGAAUAAGAACUUGAAACCAAACAGAGAUUACCAGAUUCUAGUAAGAAGAAGUCUUCAAAUUAAAAGUUGUUCAGAAUCAUAAGAGAACCAAAAAAUAAAAAUGCAGAAAUUAUAUGGUUACAGACCACAACACUUAAAGUGCUCAAAUUAUCCAGGGCAUAGCCCACAAAACACACAAAAGAGAAAAAGAACAGAAAGAAAAAAAAAAUCAUUCUUCUGCCUCAGAGCUGCUCCCAGAUUCUUCCUCUUCACCUUUUUUGGUCAAAUCUUCAUUAGCAUCCUCACCCUCAUCAUCAGGAUCAUCUUCAUCUUCAACUUCCCUUUCACUUUCAGCCUCUUCAAACUCCUUUUCACUCUCUGCCUCUUCAACAGCGCUAUCAACAGCCUUUUUCUCCAUAGCAAGAAUCAUAAGGUCAAUCUGAGUCUUCCUCUCACCCAGGAUCACACUUGUAGCCUUUAAACCAACAAUGAUUUGUUUGUCAGACAUAUUACCUGCAUUAGGAGUAGGCACAGAUGUUCCAACCAGAUCUGGAGCAUGACUGUCUCCAAACAGUUUCUGAUGGAAAGUAAGGGGAAAAUCCCUUUUCAUGGGCAAAUCAGCAGCAGAGAUGAUAUUAGGGUGUUGACUGUUUGACAUCAUCAAUCUUAGCAUGCCUCAUGGUCUGAUCAAAAACAUACCUCCUAAUGCCCAUCUUAGUCUUAGUUCCUACAACAAAAAAAAAUCUAGCCAAACCUGUUGCUAUAUCUGAAGAGUGAGUAGUAGGAACCCAAUUGGCAACACCAAUUCUGUUAAGAAUCGCAUACUUCAAGCUCAGCUUUCCGGAGGAAAUCUUUCCUUUCUUUGGCCAAACUUGCACCUUAUUGGCUGUGAUCUCUUUGCAAAUCUGAUUAUAUGUAGCUUCCACCUCAGCAGCUCCUCCUUCAAUACCUAGAAAAUUAUAGAUGAUGUUGGGGGAGAAGUUGACACAUUCUCCUCUAACGUACACUUUUUGAUAAUUUCUCCUAAGAGGAUUAUCAUAGUCCAUGGGAAUGUUCACCAAGAAUUCUCUAACCAGCUUUUCAUAGCACUCUCCUAACUUGCACACAGUCUUCUCCAGACCAGCCUCUCUGAUUAAACUCAUAACCUCCUCAAUUUUCAACACUUCUUCACUUAAUUCUCUUUCCAAAGCGAGCCUUCUGUGGUAAAUGAAUUUCCACCUCUAAGCAAAGCUUGGAAGAUGAAAGGAUACUUUGUCAAUGGGAACAUCUUCCACAAUCUGCAGAUCUUUCUUCCCAGCAGCUUUCUUGGAUUCUGAGGGAGUGAUGUUUAGCACAUCCAGCUCAGCAUCAUAUUCUGACUCACUUGAAGAGACAACCUUUCUCUUCCUAGAGCUACCAGCACCACUUUUCACCAUCACCUUACUCCAGUUCUUCUUGGGACCAAUACCAGCCGUUUUUGUCUUGCUUUUUGGGGUUUCAUCUACAGUGAUAGUUGUCCUCUUAGAGGAUUGGCUAGUGGCAGGGACAGCUUCCCUUGUUGCUUCUGAGUCUCUUGUUCACACUGUCUCCAAGAGUCUGUACCAGGGGAACAUCAUCCAAUUCAAGAUCAUCGACAUCCACUAUAACACCCUAUUUCUAUUAAAGCGAUAAAACUCGCGAAUAAAGCAUAUAUUCAAUAAAUAGACGCUACGUCAUCAUACAAAAUUCAAAUUCAUCAUGCAAGCAUAAAAAUCUCAACAGUCGCAGCGGAUAUAUAAACCAUAUACUUCGAAGCAUACAUGACAUACAAACAAAAAUACAUCAACAUAAAUGUUCUCCAAGUCCCGACAAAAGGGUAAAUCUCCAACAUGAAUAAAUCCAACAAAUAAUCUAGACCAACAUAACAGACACCUAGAUCAGAGCCUAUCCUAGACCCUACAAAACCGAUACCGGAGAUAGCUCCCGAUAUCCAACCAAGCAUCAAUCAACUCACCGGAGCAACUAAUCCAGCACAGUGUCUACCCAUUCAUACAGACAGGUAGGCGGUCAAAACCACUGGGGUAAGUAUUACAUCAAUCAUAAUCCACAUAACAGUUAAUCAUGAAUAAUUCAAUUCCAAGUACUUAGCAUAAACAAUUAAUUCAAUGUGUGCAUUUACAUAGCAUUUCAAAAUAAUACAACCAAGUAUCCACCAAGCACAUUUAUCAACAAUUCAUAUCAUUCACAAUCUCAUCAUAACUUCAACAAAUAUUCAUUCACAAACUUCAACAAUUAUCAUUCACAUGCAACAAAUCAACUCAUGUUAAUUAUGCAAUGCGCCUAACACCGACGCCUACAUGCAUGUGGUACCAAGCACAACAACGUCUAGGCCGUUACCCCAUGAUGUCAACUGCACAUCAUUUGUAAGAAUACACCUCCUCUUACACACAACUAUGUAAAAGUACACCUCCUUUUACAUUUCACAUAUGACAAUGAUGCAUGGACAUAGCAAAGACCAAAUAAUGCAACUCCACAACUCACAACAACAUAAUGUAAAAGUACACCUCCAAUUACAUUGUACAACUUCAACAACAAUUGCAUUAUCAAACAUUCACAUCCACACAACCAACAUGUCAUAAUUCAAUUAAGAGUCACCACCAAAAUAUCAACACACAUUCAUUAAUCAACUACUUCAUAUAGUUUCACCAAUCCAAUUGUCUCAUAUUCCAAGUAAGAGAACAUACAACAUCUCAUGAUCAUAUCAUAUCAACAUGUCACAAUUCAUUCAUACAUCUUCAUUUAGUCAAAUGAAGCUAGUCACAAAAGGUCAUAAGAUAAUUGACUUAAAGGAAUCUUUUCCGACAAAACCGUAUCAAGUGGCAAACGGCCAACAUCGAUAACUCUCAAAGUUAGGUAACGAUAUAAAGUUUAAAAACUCACCAAACAAUCUUAAUCAAGAGCUUAAGCCGAUUACAAACUAUUAGACAUUAGUUCAAAGACUAGCUUAAGUUCGUAUGAUAAAACCCAAGUUAACAUUUUUCACAUUGCCAUACGAAAUUCACGUUUAACAUGAUUAAGAUGUUUGACCAACAUUACAAGCCUUACCUAAGUCUAUAUGAGCUGUAGGUUUAACUUGUAAUCUCAUUCAUUUCAUAAAAGUUCAAUUCAUCAAAAUCCGAAAUUCCCAAAAAUAUGCAAGUUUCAACCCAAAAUGGAAAAUCCCAAGUUUGAAUGAGCUAAACAUGUUCCAGUAGGUUUAGAGGUUCAAACAGAGAUUAAACAAGUUGAAAGGAUCAUUUUACAAAGCUCGGAUUGACCCCCUAAAUCCCAGAACAAAAAUCAAAAGUGGCUGAAUCUGGGCAGGUUCGCUUAAGCGACCACUUCGCUUAAGCGAAGAAGUUCCAGUAGCUACCUGUAAUGUACACUUACUGAUCGAUUACCGUUCGCUUACCUGUUCGCUAAAGCGAACACCUGGUUUGCUUAAGCGAACAAGUUCCAGUAGCUAUUAGUAAUGUACGCUUACCGGUCGCUCACAGGUUCGCUUAAGCGACAUGUUUCCAGAACUUGCUAUGAUGGUUCGCUUAAGCGAACAGUCAUAGUUCUGCAGAAAAAUAUUACGGGUUUCAACCCCUUUUCACCCAAAACCCCCAAUUUUGAUCUUCCAAUGCCCAAAUGUGUUUCCAGAGGUUGUUUACAGGUCAUUAUAACUAAAUUGAUUCACAAGAACACAACCAACAUGAAAACCAAUGACAUUUGAACCAAUUCACCAAUUUUGCAAAACUACCAACAACAACUCAUUUCUCAUCCUCAAGUCAUGAAUUAUGAAUACCCAAGCCAUGAAUCAUCAACAACAACAUCACUCAACAAUUUGAGCAUAAUUCAACAUAUAUCACUUUCUCAUACUUUGAACAUGAAAUUUCACCAACAACAAUUCAAUUAUCAACAACUUCAUGCAUUUAAACAUAUCAUCAUAAUUGGAGCACGAAUUCUAACAAUUAUGAACAAUUAUUCAAUUAUUCAAUUAAGCACUUAAUCAUACAACAAUUGAAAAUUUACACUAAAAAUGAUUAUGAUUGAAUUCUAACCCCCUUACCUUAAUUAUCACCAAUUCCUAACCCAAGCUUCACUUUAGCUCCUAGGAUCUCUCCAAUUCUUGAAUCUUCAAGCUCUUCUUCUCUCUAAACCUUUUUCCUCUUUUCCUUCACUUUCUCUCUCUACCUCUCUCAAAAUAUCUUAUGUAAUGAAAAAUGAGUGAUAUUUUAUCUUAAGACAAGUCUUAUAUAGUCUAUUUUCCUAAUGGGCUUAACCCUAAACCUUAGUGGACUUAACCCACUCCAACUCAAUUCUAAAAUGUUUCUACACUCACAACGGUAAAAUACUAUUAAUGAUCACUCAACGGUAAAAUACUAGCAACGGUCACUUAAUGGUAAAAUACUAAUUAUUACCCUAGUAACUUAGUAAAAUAAUGGUUCUCACUAAACGCUAAAAAUAAUUCUCACCAAAAUUAGUAAUUUUACCCCUCUAGCACGAAACCCAUGAAAAUGCACCCAGUGAUGAAUAAUCACACACAAGCACAAAUAAACACAAUAAAAUAAUUAAAAAUAAUUCUAACGGAAAUCGGGCUGUUACAUCCACCACUUCUUUAUCACUCUUUUUACCAUCUGAAUCUACUUCUUCAACAUCUUUUUCAAAGUCACCACCAGAUCUACCUCUUUCAUCAGUAUGGGAGUCCUUAACCGAGUUAUCAAGAUUCUCAUCCUCCUCUAGGUCAGUCUGAACACUUGGUUCCUUUUUCUCACUAACAAUAUCUUCCACACCAGCAGGUUUAACAGGUUGGCCCAAGGAUGUGCCAACAUUCGGUCCAACAUCAACUUGAACAUCAGUUUCUUUUGGAGUAUUUUCUAUAGAUUCAUCGGCCCUAGUGUCAACAGCAGGGUUACUCACAUCCAUGUUCUCAUUACUUUCUAUGGCAUCAUUCAAUACUUCUAACCCUAGUUUUCUACCAGAUAUAGGUUCUUUAGAAAUUAGGGUUGAAUCAAGAUUACCUUUUUAAUCCCCAAGGGUUGCAGCAUCCGAAGCCACUUUGGGUGUAUUUCCAUCAUCAUCAGCACUUUGAGAAGUGGAACCUUCCUCGAUAGCUUUAAAAGAAUUCUCCUUUUUGUAGAGAUCCGUCAUGGACAGGGCUACUCUCGAAUCGCCUUUCUUCAGAGUCUUAUUCUUUGGAGAAGGCUUAACAACAUUUUUCUUUUUGGAUUUUAAAGGGGGAACAACGGUGAGAGGUUUAAACUUCUUUGGAACAGAGGAAUCAGUUUCUCGUUGUUCGGUCGUGUUCUUAUCAACAAAAACAGAAGGGUCGUUUUUGAACUUGAUGAUGAUGUGAUGUUGAUGAUAACGUUUGUGAGGAUGAAGCUUUUGAGGAUUGGUUGCAAAAAUAAGGAGGUGAACAUUUUUUAGAAGUUCAGAGAAAUAGAAAGUGAGACAAGGGUUAAGCAAUGUAUGAUUGCGGUUAGUUAGGAGAAGAGAAAUAAUUCGAACCAAAUAGCCUGAAUUAGUGUGCCCCAGUAAACGGUAAGAUACGCAUAAAGUCCUUGCACGCCUUCUUGAAAAAAGAAGAAAAAGCCAACACAAUUCAACCCCCCUUCUUGUGUUUUUCUCACCUUCAAUUGGUAUCAGAGCUUUGAUCUGUUGUCAAAACACUUAACAUUGUAACAGAAAAAGAUCUGAGAAAAACAUGUCUGGUGCGAAACCUGAAUCCAGUACGAGAAAUGCUAUUCCAUAUGAUUAUGGUAGCAACAAGAAAUCUGACUAUGGAAAAGUUCCAAAGUUCAAUGGAGAUCCUGAAGAAUUUUCCUGGUGGAAGACCAACUUCUAUAGUCAUGUCAUGGGUUUAGAUGAAGAUCUAUGGGACAUACUAGAAGAUGGUAUUGGUGACUUAGUCGUUGAUGAAGAAGGAGCUUCUAUUGAUAGAAGAAAACAUACUCCUGCUCAGAAGAAAUUCUACAAGAAGCAUCACACAAUCAGAGGAGCACCUGUCAAAGCUAUACCUAAAGCAGAGUAUAUGAAGAUGAGUGACAAAUCCACUGCUAAGUCAAUGUUUCCUUCUCUUUGUGCUAACUAUGAAGGUAGUAAGAAAGUCAAAGAAGCAAAAGCUCUGAUGCUUGUUCAUCAGUAUGAGUUGUUCAAAAUGAAAGAUGAUGAAAGUAUUGAGCAAAUGUACUCAAGAUUUCAUACUCUAGUUUCUGAACUUUAAAUACUGAAGAAAAGCUAUGUAGCCUCUGAUCAUGUGAGAAAGAUACUUAGAAGCUUACCUGCAAGAUGGAGACCAAAGGUGACUGCUAUUGAGGAAGCUAAAGAUUUAAACACUUUAAGUGUUGAAGAUCUUGUCAGCUCUCUCAAAGUUCAUGAGAUAAGUCUUAAUGAACAUGAACCUUCUAAAAAGAGUAAAUCCAUUGCUCUACCAUCAAAAGGGAAGUCAUCAAAAGCUCUUAAAGUUGUUGAAUAUGAAGAAGAAUCACCCGAUGAAGAUCCUGAUGAAGAUCAUAUAGAGAAGAUGGCUAUGCUUUCCAAUAAGCUUGAGUAUAUGGCAAAGAAGAACAAGAAGUUUCUGAGUAAGAAUGGUGGCUAUAAGAACUCUAAGAAAGAAUAUCAGAAGGGAUGCUUCAACUGUAAGAAGCAUGGACACUUCAUUGUUGAUUGCCCUGAUCUUCAGAAGGAGAAAUCAAAGGACAAGUCAAAGAAAUCAAGCUUCAACACAAGGAAAUUUAGAAAGCAGAUCAAAAAGAGUUUAAUGGCAACCUGAGAAGAUUUAGACAGUAAUUCAGACUUGAAAAGGAAGAUUCUUAAGAAGAUGCUAAAGUAGUUGUUAGGUUAGUGGCUAAUGUGAAUUCAGAAGCAGAUUCUGAAGAUGAAAAUGAGGUAUAUUCUAAAUUUCCCAUAGAAAAAUUGAUUGAGUCUCUUAAAGAACUUCUUACACAUUUUGAAUAUAGAACCAAUGAGUUGAAAGAUUUAAAAGAAAAAUAUGUUGCUUUGAUGAAACAACAAGAAUCAACUCUAUUGGAUCUGAAAGCUUCUGAAGAAGGACUUAGAGGGUUUGACUUCAUUUGUAGAACUUAUGAAGAAAAACUCAAGCAUCUUUGUCAGAAACUACAAGAAAAGUGUAAUGGAAAGUUUUUCAGUAAAGAAGAAAUUGCUCUUGAGGAGUAGAUUAUGUCAGGUAUUGACAGGAGCAAAGUUGCUUCUAUGAUUUAUAGCAUUUACAGAAACAAUGGUAAAGGGAUGGAUUUUCAGAAGGGAAACCAAAUGAAAUCAGUCUUAAAGCCGGUUGUGAAUGCAUCAGGAAGGAUUGAAAACCGUCUUUGUACCUGAAGGUGUAACACCCUAAAACCCACAUAUUAUUUUCUAAAUAAAAAUAUAAUAAUUAAUUAAACAUGCAAGGAUGUCACACAUCUUCUUCAAUUUAAAAAUACUUCAUUUAAAUAAAAACACGUCGAAACGGAAUAAAUUCAAAACAUCAAUGUAAUUGUCACAUCAGUGUAUCGACAUCAGAACUAAAUUCAAAGUCGAAUUUUGAAAACAAAAUCUAAAAUAAAAAGAAUCCCCAAUCCCUAGUGCCACUGAUCAGAGCUUCGACUCAAUAAAUACUCCCAAAAGCGAUAAGAAAAAAAAGAGAAGGCUCCAACGCCAUCCUCCGAGACUCACUGCUACUAAGAUAUUCUUUCUGCAAAUGUACACCACAAGGGUGCAGGCGCCCAACCUGCCACUAGAGGGUGAGAAUAUAUUCAACAUAAGAAAUUCAUAAACAUAUGUAUAGAUCCAGACUAAAGAAUACAUCAAUUAUAUUUAGAAAUGUAUGCAUCAUAAUCAGAUAAUAUUCACAUUUGAAUAUAUAAUUUAAUUUAGUAAAAAUCUAAUAGGCAUCAAUCAACAUCUUAUAAUAACAUGUGAACAUCAACAAUCAUAUAUUCAUAUUUAUUCACAUCAUUUAAUAAUCAUCUUUCAUCAUUUAAUAGAAACAAACAUAUCACCGUCAUUAAAUAAACUCAUCUUCAACUAUAAAUUUAUAUAUAUAUAGAUACUACAUCGUCAAAUAUACUACAUCUUCAAAUAUAUAUUUAUAUAUAGAUACUACAUCGUCAAAUAUACUACAUAUUCAUAUAUGCUUGACAAUGAAUGCAAUGUCCCUAACUCGACUCUAUAUGCAUGUGGUACCAAACCUAUCACCAUUGUCAAAUAUUUGGAUAUCAGAGGUAUGUUACUGAUUUUGUCCACACCAUCGUCAAAUACAACAUUGUCAAAUAUGACUGACCAUGAAUGCAUGAACACCAAACUAAUGACUCGACAAUGCACAUCUUUAUAAAACUCGACAAUUACACAUCUUUAAAUAGCUCAUCAUCAAAUAUUACUAUAUUACACACAUCUUUUAACCACACAUAUUCAAAUAACACAUCUUUAUAGAACACAUCUUUAAAUCACACAUCUUCAAACAUUACAUCUUUAAAUAUCAUAUAAAUUUUAAAAUUCAAAUGUGAUAAAAUCCAAAUAAUUAAAAUCAUAGUAUUCACAUAAAUAAUUAAGAAUGAUUCAAAGUCCAUUAGCAGCGAAGAAAACAGUAGCGACCAAAAAAUAAUAUAGUGAAAGAGAAGAAGCAAAAUUCACACCAAUAUUGAUAUACAUUUAGCAAACCCUAUCGGUAUGAUAAGAAUAAAAAAAAAGUAUAUAUGUAUAUAAUUAUCCAAGAAGCCGAAGUGAACGAAUCCGAAAUUGAGUUAUGUCGUGCAAAAUUUCAUGAAACUUUGAUCAAGAAAUUUAACCAAAUAAAUUAAUAAAAUUGUGAGGAUUUUAUUUUAAUUGAAAAUUGUAGCAUAUAGUCACAUACUAACCGAAUGGGGAUCAUUGAUAAAUUGAUGAAGCAUGCAUAGGAUCAACACCAUGUAAAUAUAAAUAUAUACAUACCAAAAUAUACUGAAUGACAAUUUACGAAAAAUAUGUACAUGCAUAAAUUCGAAUGACAUAAAGGACACAAUUUUCUCAAUUUGAAUUUAACUGAAGAAUCGAACACAUGGAUCACAAAAGUAUGCAUAAAACAAUCAAUCACAAUUUAACAAAAAUCAUCAAAAAAUUAUGAAAACAAACAAAAACCCUUCACAACCCAUAUAUUCAUACAACCCUUAUGGUGAAUAGAGACUCCCCCCUUACCUCUAAUUUUGAGAAAUUGAUAAUUUCAUACGGUAAAAUCUCUCUCUAGGUUCUUCUCGUUAUUCCUCCUUGUCUCUUCUCUCCACAACCCUAGCUAAUUUUUCCGUUGCCGCUUUAUUUCUCUCUUUUUCGGUAAUCCUUUUUCUCUAAUAUUCUUCUCUAUUUAUAAGCUCUAAUUGAGUUUAUUACAAAUAUUUUUAGAUUACUAUAUGUUCUCUAGGUUUGUUGCUAAUCUUUCUGCACCUACACAAUCUUGCUAUUCGCACCUCCCUCUGCUUAAAUCAAUAAAGCACUACUCAGCUCACUAACUACAUCUCUUUUCUACCCAAUUUUACUAAUCCACCUUUAUACGCACUCUACUUUCUUAUUCUAUCUAAAAACUCUAUUUUCUUCUUAAAUAUUAUUUUCUCUCACUCUUUAACCGACUAACCAACACAUCUACAUGCUCCUUACCUAUUCUUCCAAUAAAUACAAAUAUUUAAAUUAAUACUACCUAACAACCAAUACUAAUAAUAGCAAUAAUACUAAUAUUAUCUAAUAAUAAUAUUAAUAAACUAAUAUUAAAAAUCGGGCUGUUACAAAAGGUGCUAAGAGUGAAACUGUUGUUCAGUCAGUACCUGAAGCUACUAGCUCUGAGGCUAAGAUAACUUCAAAGCCAAAGAACUCUAAGUCAAAGGCAAUGAUAACUUCUGAUUCUAAGACUUCAAAGAUUAAGAUUCUGAAGAGAUCAGAACUUGUUCCUCAGAGUCUGAUGAAGUCAGAAGCUGGUAUCUUAAAGUCUAAGUCCUAGAGGAAGAAAACAUUUGUUGCUACUUGGGACUCAGAACCUAGAGGUAUUAAACCUAAAGCAAUGAGUAACCAGAAGCAAUUAAACUCACAGCACAAGGUACAAGAAGUGAUGAGUAAAACUUACAGUACUAACCUGAAAGGACCCAUAAGACAAUGGGUACCUAAAUCUGAAAACGUCAAUAUUGCAGAUAUGUCUAAGAGCAAAAGUAAAGCAAAAAUCAUGGUACCUAGACAGCGGUUGCUCAAGGCAUAUGACAGGAGAGAAGUCUAUGUUCCUCACCCUUACAAUGAAAGAAGGAGGAAAUGUGAAGUUUGGAGGCAGCCAACCUGGCGUGAUUAUUGGUACAGGAACUAUUGGUAACUCCUCUAUCUUAAUUAAUAAUGUGUGGCUGGUAGAUGGUCUUGAACAUAACCUUUUAAUUAUUAGUCAAUUUUGUGAUAAUGAUUAUGAUGUGAUGUUUGGUAAGACCAGCUGUACGGUAAUCAAAAAGGAUGAAAAAUCCAUAAUAUUCAAGGGAAAGAGAGUAGUGAAUGUCUAUAAAAUUAACUUUUAUGAACUGGUUGAUCAGAAGGUAAUUUGCCUUCCUUCAGUGAAUGAUAAGUAAUGGAUGUGGCACAUAAGGUUAGGACAUGCUAAUUGAAGAUUAAUCUCUAAGCUUAGUAAGUUACAACUAGUUAAAGGCUUACCUGACAUUGAUUAUCAUUCAGAUGCACUUUGUGGUGCAUGCUAGAAAGGGAAGAUUUUGAAAUCAUCUUUUAAAACAAAAGACAUUGUCUCAACCUCCAGACCCUUAGAAUUACUUCAUAUUGAUUUAUUUGGACUAGUUAACACUGCAUCCUUAUAUGGAAGUAACUAUGGAUUGGUCAUUGUUGAUGAUUAUAGCAGAUGGACUUGACUAAAAUUCCUAAGAAGUAAGGAUAAUGCAUAUGAUGUAUUCAGUAGAUUCUAAUCUUAAAAAGAAAUGAAAAUUUUAAAAGUCAGAAGUGAUCAUGGUGGUGAAUUUGAAAAUGAGCCAUUUGAACUUUUUUGUGAAAAACAUGGAAUUGUCCAUGAAUUCUCUUCUCCUAGAACUCCACAACAAAAUGGGGUUGUAGAGAGAAAUAGAACUUUACAAGAAAUGGCUAGAACCAUGAUUCAUGAAAACAAUUUGGCUAAACAUUUCUGGGCAGAAGCAGUGAAUACAGCAUGUUAUGCAUAAAAUAAAAUCUACAUCAGACCUAUCUUAGAGAAAACAACAUAUGAACUCUUUAAAGGAAGAAGACUCAAUAUCUCUUACCUUCAUAAAUUUGGAUGUACCUAUUACAUUCUAAAUAACAAGCUCUACCUAAAGAAAUUUGAUGCCAAGGCCCAAAGAGGAAUCUUUUUAGGUUACUCUGAAAGGUCAAAGGCAUACAGAGUGUAUAAUUCAGAUACACUUUGUGUUGAAGAAUCAAUGCACGUAAAAUUUGAUGACAAAGAGCCUGGAAGUGAAACUCUAAAGCAAGAUGAAAGUUUUGCAGAUAUACAGGUCACUGAAGACAUUUCAGAACCUGAUAAGAAAGCUGAAUCUGAAGAAAGUCCAGAAGCUCAACCCACUCUAGAAGUUGAACCAACCUUAGAAGCACAAUAUGAAAAUGCUUCUGAAGAAACUCAAGAUGACUCUCAGCAAGUAGUUCAAUCCAAAAAUACAUUCAAGCACAAGUCUUCACAUCCUAAGGAUUUAAUCAUUGGAAAUAAAGAUAGUCCUAGAAGAACAAAAUCAUACUUCAGACAAGAAGAAUCUAUGAUAGGAUUAUUAUCAGUGAUUGAACCUGCCACAGUUGAUAAAGCACUUUCAGAUGAUGGAUGGAUAUUAGCUAUGCAAGAAAAACUAAAUCAGUUUCAAAGAAAUGAUGUGUGGGAUCUGGUACCCAAACCUCAGUAGAAGAACAUUAUUUGAACAAAAUAGGUAUUCAAAAACAAGUUGAAUGAACAAGGUGAAGUAACCAGAAACAAAGCCAGAAUUGUUGAACAAGGUUACAGUCAACAAGAAGGCAUUGACUACACUGAAACAUUUGCUCCAGUCGCAAGAUUGGAAGCAAUUAGGUUACUUCUAUCUUAUGCAGUAAAUCAUGACAUAAUAUUAUAUCAAAUGGAUGUCAAGAGUGCAUUUCUUAAUGGAGUCAUUGAAGAAGAAAUGUAUGUCAAGCUGGAAGAUUAUAAAGUGAUGAACACUCUAAUGCAUCCAACUAGCACCUUAAGCAAAGAAGAUACUGGAACAAAGGUAGACCAAAAGCUGUAUGGAUGUAUGAUUGGUUCCUUGUUAUACAUCACUGCAUCUAGACCAGAUAUUUUAUUCAGUGUAUGCUUGUGUGCAAGAUUUCAGUCAGAUCCAAGAAAAUCUCAUUUAACUGCUGUUAACAGAAUUUUCAGGUAUUUGAAGGGAACAACUAAUCUUAGACUCCUCUAGGAAAUCCCUAGAUUAUCAGUUGGUUGAAUUUUGUGAUGCUGAUUAUACUGGUGACAGGAUUGAAAGAAAAUAAACCAGUGGAAACUGCCAUUUCCUUGGAGAGAAUUUAAUAUCCUGGACUAGCAAAAGACAAGCAACUAUUGUUAUGUCUACAACAGAAGUAGAAUACAUCUCACCUGCAAGUUGUUGUACACAACUACUUUGGAUGAAACAUCAGUUGGAGGACUAUCUGAUAAAUGCUAACAGUAUUAUGUUCAAAAAGAAAUUUUAGAUAUACAAUUUAUUGAUACUGAACAUCAAUGGACGGAUAUAUUUACUAAGUCUUUAAAUGUUGAAAGAUUUGAUUUUAUAAAGAAAAAUUUGAACAUGCAUUUUGUGUCUGAUUAAAUUUGCUUGCUGUUGAACAAGAAGUUUGGUUCUGAGGUCUGUUCAGAAGCUUUACACGUACAAUAUAGUGUAUACCUUAUAUUGAGAGAGAGAGAGAGAGAGAGAGAGAGAGAGGAGAGAGAGAGAGAGAGAGAGAAGGAGAUGGUUGGGCGAUAUAGGAAGAGAAUGAAAUGGUUUGGUAAUCGGAAGAGAUGGUUGAUCACAAGCGAGUGAGAAAGGAACGAUAACGGUUCUUCUUUCUUUUUUGAGGAAAAUUGUUUUGUAACAGUAGAAAUCUAUUUUUUCUUUUAGAAAUAGGAGCCAAAUUCUUGAAAUUUUGGGAUUGGCGGAAAUGUUUGUAGCCAAAAAUUAUAAAGAAAUAGAUUUUUGUUAUUUUGAAUAAUAAAUAAUGUAAUAAAUGUAUCAUACAGAAGGUUAGACCGUGGGUAAUUAUUGACGACAAAAAGCCGUCUAUAAUUAUUGAUGGCUAAGCCGUGGGUAGCAAUUUCAAAAAAUUCACAUUGAACUUUUACAUGCCUUGGGUAAUCCAUCACUACUCUAAAAAAUUAACCACGGUCUUACGGCCGCGAGUAAUUGUUCGUGGGUAAUGACAGAUUUUUUUCUUGUAGUGAGGGAUGAUAAGAAACAAAACCAAAGCCAUAUGCAGAGGACAGAAGAGUUUCCACAUUAUUACGGCCAGCCAUGGUACAGUUUGAACAGAUUGAAUUGAGUUUAAAAAAAGAAGAGUGAAGCACCAAAGGAGGUAAUAGUGCAUGUCUUUACAUCGAGUGAAUUAGGUUGGAUGAAUUUGCCAACAGGCGUGGGAAAUAGAGGCUGUUCUGGUUUUCCAGAUGGAAGUCCAAAGGCAACAAAAUAAAUUUAUGAUUCCUCACUGUGACAAAGUAACAGGUUUGGGGCACUGUAACAGAGGAUAUUAUUUUAUUACACAUCAUAGAUCGGAAAUAACAACAGUAACAAAAAGUAAAAGGAUAUCAUCACCCCCUACCCUAUCCAAGACAAAAAUACCUAACCAAAUUGUCCAAAAUUCCUCACCUUGGCCAGUGUUUCUCCAGCAUUUUGAAUGGUAAACUGCAGAGUAAGACUCAAGUCACGGAUGGAAGAAAACACAAACUCAACACUAGAAGAAAUAUGUAUUACUUAAAAAUGACCGAUUUAUCCAAAACAUGGAAGGGGAAGUCUAUGAUAGCCUCAUCCUAAGCUUUUACAAAGGAAUCAAGAAGCAUUCAUUUGAUAAUAGACACCUUGCACCACUGUAAGGAAGACGAUAUCGUUGGGGGAGUAUACAUCAUAAGUCAAAAAUAAAAACGUAGACAACAAACAUACAAGAAUAUUAUCUUUCCCACGUCCAUCAGUCCCUAUCGAACAUACCAUCAAAACAAACAGCACCUGAUCAAGAUGUCCAUCCUAGGAAGGGAAGAGUUGCUCCAGAAUGUAGUAUGCUAAACCACUGGGUAAGACUCAAGUUACCCAUAAAGAAACACAAAAACUUCAACACUAUUAUAAACGAAAGGGAAGUACGUUAUAACAAAAAGAACUAAGAGAGAAAGAAAAGUAGCCUGAUUCCUCUAAUCAAGUUGAAGAUCAACAGCAUAACAAAGAGAGGCCCCAACAAGCUAUCCCAACUUCACUAGAAUCAUAAACUUUUGCACUGUCGCAUAUCUAAAACCCAAUGUACCAGAUGAGAAUGUACAGAAAAAUUAUGUUGUGACAAAUAGUCUGUAGGAAAAAGAACUGAGAGAGAAAGAAUAGGAGCUUUAUUAUUCAAACCAAGUCACAGAUCGGAAUAAUAAUGAAGCCCAGCAAGCUGUCCCAACUUCACGAGAAUCAUGUAAGCUUUUGCACUGUCAGAUUCAGAUCAAAAACCAAAUGUCGAUGGUAAGAACUUCACAAUUGUACAUCAAUAAAACUCGGAAGGAAAAAAAUGAACCCAACAAAGUUCGCAAUCCAAGUAGAGCAUUCCCAAAUAAACACGAGGCUUGAUACUAAACAGAAUGUUAUGGUUUCAGAACACAAUAGCAUCAUCUUUCAAUUUACAUGUAAAAACAGUCAGAACCAAAUCAAACCUUUGAAUCAAGAAAUCAGAAAAGUACCAUACAAUACAUGAAGACAAAAAAGGGAGAGAUAACACCAGAAAGAAUCACUUCUUCCUAAUUUACCUUACAUGCAACACGGGAAAAUAAAAAGUCAAGAAAAGUAUGCUUUCAAAAGAUUUGAGAAUUAUUGAAAACCAGAAGAAUUUAGAAGAGAUGACCAAAUCAAAACUCAAGGCUUCAUGCUAUGAAGAAAGAACAUAGUACUUCUACAAACCACUCUGCAGAAAAACAGGUGCACAAUUUUUAUAUGCUUCAUACUCACUGCUGGUACAGAACCACAAAAACUCCGACACUUGCAAGAUUAGUACAGAGAACAGAAGCACUAAUCAUCACAAAUUUCUACCUAAGUUCUUAUCGCAAAAUUAAUCCUAGCAGACAGUCGAAAAUGUAUAUCAAAAUUUAAUUAGUUUGCAGAAGAUAUGUGAUUAAUACAAACCGAUUUCUCCAUUUCAGACGGAAAAAUUAACAAAGUGCAGAGUGAUCGGAGACAUCUGUUGUACAACAAACCAAUGUAAAACAUAGCCUGUGAAAACAGAUGAUUCAUGUACAGAAAACCCACGACAUGACAAACAGUUGUAGAGGAAACCAACAAAAAGAAGGAAGAUAGUUUAAUUUACCAGAAACGUGUGAACUUUGCAUUGUCAGAUUACAUGUCAAAAACCUAAAAUGUAAGAUAACAGCAGUAUGAAGGGAUAAGAAUACUUACGGCUAGACUAUUCACAUAAAGGAAUAAAUCGAGAAGACAAUUUGUAUGCUUGAUCAGGUCACCACGAAACAGAAAUAAACCUAUACACUUAAUAAUACACAAAAUGUGGUUGUUUUAAGAUACAUUACAUUGCAAAAAACAGGUUUUAAUUCACAAUUCCACCAGGGAUGAUUAUCAUGUAUCAAGUUUUACAAAACAUUACCUUUUCCUGAGACUCAAUUGGAAACAUACAAAACAGAAAAUUCAUAUCAGAACGCAAGCUAUGUUUCCAAGUUCCACAAAAUAUUACUGUUACCUACUACUCAAAUAGCAAUACCUUAAACACAAAACAACAUCUGUUGUAACAGAGGAAUAAUAAUAUUUAUUGUAACAGAGGAAUUAGAGAACAACCAAUUGGAACCGAAACAAACUUCAUCAAAAUAAGAACUGCAAACGUCAAGAUACCUAAUAAUCAACCAGAAAGAAUAAGAAAUUGUAUGUUCACAAAUUAUUGCUCCUGCAACACCAAAGAGUAACGAAUCAAGAAAUAUUCACUCUGAGUAGUUAAAGAAAUAUUGAAAACAAAAUGAUUAUAAUAAAUAUCACCAAAUAAAAACGCUAGACUCAAUGCUGCGAAGAAAGUUAUUAGCUUGACAGACCAUGCUGCAAAAAAAACAUGUUCAAAAUUCAAUUUGUAUAACUUGCAAUCACAGGCCAUAAAUUAAAUUAAUAAAGGACUCAUUGAAGAAAAAUCAUUUAUCUAUCAGAUGUCGUUCCCCGUUAUUGUCCGUUGAAUCAAAUGUUCAAGAUAUCAAGACUUCCCUGCUCGCAGUACAACGGAUAAACAGAUCUUCGGUUAUCAAAUAAAGAAUUACAUUGAAAAAUAACACAAAGAUUGAAUAGAUGAAUUUUCUAGAGAUCACCAGGAAAAUACUCAAGGCUCCAUACUCUGAAGUAGGUGAUUAUUUAGACAAACCAGGCUGCAGAAAAAGCAUGUUCACAGUUCAAAUCUUUUCAUGAUCAAAAGCUUAAAUUGGAAACCAUGUAGAAUGAAUCAUUGAAGAAAUUCGAUUUAUCUAUGUGAAGCAAUUCCCCGUUCAUAUCUGUUGUGUCAAGAAUCGAAAAUGUUGUAGUUUUUCAAAUUUCCGCUUUCUGCAAAAUGGUUAAACGCAUAUCUCAAUUAUCUAAUUAUGAAGAAGUAAAACCAAUAGUUGGAAAAUAAACAUAUAAUUAUUGAAAAAAAACGAUCCAUAAAUGAAGAGUAGAGAGAACUGUGAAAUUCAAAACCAAUAGUUGGAAAAUAAACAAAUAAUUAUUGAAAAAAACAAUCCAUAAAUGAAGAGUAGAGAGAACUGUGAAAUUCAUGAUAUCUACAAUCCAAAAAAGCAUAUCAAACGCCAAUCCAUAAAGAUCUCCUUGAUAGAUGAAGAAACAAUUAUAUAUAAAAAUUUAAGAAAAAAAAUCUUCAUAACCAAACGAAUGAACAUGUUCACAUAUCAAUUUUUAUGUCCUUGGAAUCAAAGCAAAGAAAUAAAAAUACUAAAGAAUGAAUCAUUGAAGAAAUUUGAUUUAUCUAUCUGGAGCCGUUCUAUGGUCUUAUCCGUUGUAUCAAGAAUCUCAAAAUGUUCACCUCGCUGCAAAACGAAUGAACAUGUAGCUGCAGAAGAAAGCAUGUCCACCGUUCAAUUCUUCUCUUUUCAUAAUCAAAUGCUUGAAAUUGAAAACAAUAAAAAAUGCAUCAUUGAAGAAAUUCAAUUUAUCAAUGUGAAGUCGUUCUCCGAUUGUACCCGUUGUGUCAAGAAUCGCAAAAUGUUCUAGUUUUUCAAAAUUCCACUUGCUGCAAAAUGGUUAAAAACGUAUCUCGAGUAUCUAAUUAUGAAGAUCUCGAUUAUCUAGUCACGAAGAACAACCAAUAGUUCGAAAAUAUACAUAGAAUUCUUUAAAAAAGAUACAUAAAGGAGGAGUAGAGAGAACCGUGAAAUCCUUGAUAUCUACAAUCCAAAAAAGCAGAUAUCAAAACACCACUCCAUAAAGAUCUCCUUGAUAGAAGCAAAUCAAAAAUUAUAGGUUCAAAAUUCAAUUUGUAUGCCUUCCAAUCAAUGCUCAUAAAUUAUAAUAAUAAAGGCCUCAUCGAAGAAAUUAAUUUAACUAUCCGGAACUGCUCUACAUUCUUAACCGCUGAAUCAAGACAUUCUACUUCCCAGCUCACUGUUACUACAGAUAAAUGGAUCUUUCAAUUAUGAAACAAAGAAUUAUAGUGCAAAAUAACACAAAUGAUUCUUUAUAACCAACGUAAAAAAAAGAUUCUGGAAAAGUAUGAUAGUAUGAAAUAUAUGCUUCUCAUAUGGAAAUAUUGAAAGAAAAGAUUUUACCAGCAAUAACCAUAUCAAUACUCGAGGCUGCAGAAAAACAAUGGGAGGUUAUUAUUUUGACAAACCAGGCUGUAGAAAAACCACGUUCACAGUUCAAUUCGUGUCUUAAUGCUCAAAAUUGAAAAUAAUAACUAAUAAUUCAAUUUAUAUCUGAAGCCAUUCUCCGUUCGUAUAUGUUGUGUCACCAAUCACAAAACGAUCUGGAUUACCAGACUUCAGCUCGCUGCAAAACGGAUAAACGCAUAUCUCGAUUAUCCAAUUAUGAAGAACCUAUCCAAUAAUCCCAAAAUAAACAAAUAAUUCUCGUAAAACCUAUCCAUGAAAGGAAGAGUUGGGAGAACUGUGACAUUCCUGAUAAUUGAUAUCUACAAUCCGAAAAGAGUAUAUCAAAAUACAAAUCUGUAAUGAACUCCUUCAUAGCAGCAGAUCAAAGACCCUAGAAUCUUGUAUGCUUCAUACUCACGUUCCUGAUACAAAAACUUAAAAACUGCAACUCUAGAGCACAAAUACCGAUGUAAAGAAAAAAUGACCAGUUUUAUUUAUCCCAAGGCUGAACGGAAAGUAAGUGAACCUCUCCGCACAUGCUACACAGUUAGAGGAUUACGCCCCCUGCAACACCCACACAGAAAACUCAAAGGAACCGACAAAAGUGAAUGCUGAUUAUGAAACAAAGAUUGAAAUUAAAGAGAUAACCAAAUUAUAACCUAGCAACAGUAGAUAGUAUAUGACAGCCUGCAGGAAAUGAUGAUUCAUUGUAACAAAUUUCCAUCCAAUUUUCAAGAUCGUCAUGUAACCAUUGAAGAGACAAUAAAAUAUUGAAACAAUAAAAGAAAACUAAAGAAAGACUCUCCCAUCAAAGUUAAGUCGUCCCUAACAAUACGAGAAACACAAAAACUUGAACACAGGAAAAAAAACAUAAAAUCAUCAACACCAGCUUGUACACAAUUAGGACAACAAUUCAGAACAAAAACAUAUACGUAUGUAAAAGAUGACCAAAUGAAUGAGAAAGUCCGUGUUAAUCAAAUCCAACCUUGCAAGACGAGUCGAGAAGCACGAAAGCAUAAAUGUUCACAUUAAAUUUAGAUCGCCAAAUUAAGCCUCAAAGAUUGAAAAUUUAACUUGUUGAUUCAUGUAAUUAGUUGACAGAAGAUAAAUAGUACAAAGCAGAAACACUCAUCUCCAAUUACUCAACUUCAGACAGCAAAAUGAAUAAGGUACAGUGUAAUAAAAAAGGAGACGUCUGUUGAACACUUGCUCUGUAACACCACAAAGUCGUCUCAAUCUCUCCAAAGUGUAACCACUACUUCGCCACAUUACAUGUCAAAAAUGUAAAUGUAAGAAAUGGUAGUUUGAAGGAAUAGGGUGACAAUGUAAAAAAAACCAAGAAAAGAAAACGAAUAUUACCAUAAUUCUCCAAACCGAACCUAAAUAGAAGAAAACGUAUGAUAGGGUAAUAAAAAGGAGACUUCUGUGGUACACCAAACCAUGUAACAAUUACCUAGUGAACACCAAAUGACAGUGGUAUUAAUGAGAUGAAUACAAUUCAUAACCUGAUUGCUAGAUGCUACACACAUGCUGCACUGAACAGUAAAUGUUUCAAUUCACAAUUCAGUCCGAUAAUCAUGUAGUUUCACAAAACAUUACUACCAUCAUCUGCAAUCAGCAAAGUGUAUACAUCAGAACUCGAGGCUUCAUGCUAUGAAAAUGUUAUUAAUUACACCUUACGCCUCUUUCGUGAUAUUACUCGAGGCUUCAGUGAAAAGUAGACAGAGAGAAUGCAAAGGAAGACGAAGGGAGGAUAAAAGAAAAGUGGGAGACAAUGGAUAAUAGUGUAAAAUUCAUAUAUUUUUGUCAAUUCAAGUGUAACUCGAGGUGUAACAAGAAAAAAUCAAACAUCAUAAUUUCUUUUGCUAGUUUUAAUUAUUCAAAUAAAAAAUACAAAGAUAUAAUUAUAGAAGUUCAAACCUUACUGAAGUUUUUAAUAUCAUGAGUAUUUCCAAUAAAAAAAUAUCAAAGAAAAUCAAAAAGUGAUCAAACGCUGUUAAUUCAAAAAGUUAUUUUAUAUAUAAAUAUAUAAAUAUAUAAAUAUAUAAAUAUAUAUAUAUAUAUAUAUAUAAAUAUAUGUAAUAUUUUACACUACACUGUUGCAUGGUGAACAUCAUCUCAACUGUUAUUGCUCACUAAAAAAUUAUCAACAUGAUCUGAUACACUUGCUAGAUCGAAUGGUGUUAAUUCAAAAAGAGAAAUGAAAAUAACAAAAUUGUUCAUUAGUACAUCAUAAACAUAAAACAGCAUUUUCUUAUAGUUACUUCCCUUAUCAUAUUUUAAUUUUGUACUCUAGUUAACACUGCUAGGUCAAACAAUCAAAAGAUAACUUUCAAAAUACAUAUACAUAUACAUAUACUUCCAAAAUACAUAUACAUAUACAUAUAUACUGUCAAAAGACAACUUUCACAACACAUGAAGAAUUCCUAAGCUAGAAGCAGGCCUAACUAAUGCACCAAGGAGAAACAAUAGACUCUGCACACUUGGUUACGCAAAGAGCUAUAUUCCAUUAUUGUGGUUGUAACACACCAUUAAUAGUAAGAAAAUUGCCUGUUUUGUCCAAAGGCUGAAUGGAGGGUCUAUCAUGAUAUUCAACACAUGCAUUUCACAUUUCACAAUCCACCUACAUUUGCAACGACUGAGAUAAAAUACAAAGAACCAAUCCAAGCAGAAAGCACAAAGGAUGUAUAACCAAGUAGAAAUCACCUUGAAGCCGGUGCACUCAGAAAUAUCCACUUAGGAGAACCAAUUUAUUCAUAUGCACAUCAUCAAAUAACAAAGGCUAUAGAAAAGCUCCGCGAUUAAAAACCGCCAUUAGGACAAUAAGAGACCACCCAAGCUGUCCAAAACAGAUUACAGAUACAGGCAGGUCAAACCAUAAGGGAAUAUCUACUCCACUGACAAAGCUACAAAUUUGGGACAGAAGAUUCGUAUUCUUAUAUAACUAGAAAAGACGGCAGACUACCAACCAGAACAUAACACCAACCAAGCUGUCUAGAAUUUCAUAUCCUCAUCGCGGGCAAAAUCAUAUCCUUGUAUGCUUCAGUAUUCACGCUCCUGAUGGCAAAACACAUAUAUCCAAUACUAGCACGAGACAUUUUAAAGGAAAAUUAUCCCUAACACUGUAACAUAACUGAUCGUAUCACACGGCUGAAUGGAUAGUAUGUUAACCUCCGGUUUCCACAGGUCACUGCACACCACAUUUCAUAGUCCGUCUCCCCUGUAACACCCACACAAUCCAAAAGAACUGAAAAAAGAUACUAAGUAUCAGACAAAGACUAAAAUGUCGACUUUUAUUGCUAUACAUGUAAAUUUGAAAGGUGAUGCUGUUUUUUUUUUUUUUUUUGCAGUAUGGCAAUAAAAGUCAGAACCAAAUCAAACCUUGGAUUAAAAAAAAUCAGUAAAGAACUAGCGUACAAAACAUGAAGGCCAAAAAAAGAAAGAUAACACCAAAAAGAAUAAAAAAUAAUCAAAACAAAGAGAAACAAAACCAGAAGGAAUCACUUGUUCUUAAAUUACCUUCCCUGCAACACGGGAAAAUAAAAAAUCAAGAAAAACAUGCUUCCAAAAAUAUUGAAACCAGAAGAUUUUGGAAGAGAUCACCAAAUCAAAACUCGAGGGUUUUAUGCUACGAAGAAAGAACAUAUUUGUUUUACAAACCACGCUGCAGAAAAACACAAUUCAAUUCUAGUGUUUUGCAAACAAAUCCUAAAAAUAAAAAUAAUAAUGAACCAAAACUGAAGAAUUCUAUAUUUUGCAAUCAAAUCCUGAAAAUAAAAAUAAUAAAAAACAACAGGAUAGCUCGAAACAAAAUCAUGCAAAAUAACCAGACAAGAAUCAGAAUGACAAUUAACUAACAAUUCAUUAUUUGUGAUGAUCAUUAAAAUAAGUACAGCAACCACUAAGACCAACACCAGCAAGAACUAAAUCAAACCACAACAUCAAGAGACAAAACUAACCAGAAGGAAUACUCAACAUUAAUAGAUCACCUCUCUUGGAGCACCAAAAAGGAAAAUAAGAAAUCAAGAAAUAUGUACUCUCACAAUCCAAUCUGCAGCAUGUCUUAAGAACAAAGCCCAAAACUUAAAAAGUAAAGGAACGACUUUGAUAUAUCUGGACUAGUGUAUCUCCAAACGUUGUAGAUAUCCAAACUUUAGCCCUCUGCAAAACAGAAGUGUAUCUCUUGAUUAUCCAAGAAAGAUGGACAGAAUCAUAAAUAUUGUUGAAGCUCUCCUAAUAUUUAGUUUAAUAAUUCUAAACAAUGACACAUUACAAUGCCAAAGGACACCUAUUUUCCAGAAUAAGUACAUUCAAGGCAAGAAAAUGAACCGUAAAAUCCAAGGGUCUGCAUGUUCGUAAUAUUAAGGUUAGCUGCAGCUUUAAAAUCACAGUAUAUCAUAUCCGCUGUAACAAGAGCUGAGAAAAUUUCACAACAAAAAACCCCAUUUACGAACACAGGUAGUCAGAAAGGAACGAGAAAACUAAAUCCACAAAAAAGACAAGGAAACGUGAAGAAAUCAUUGUCAAAGUAGAGAUAACCAAAUGAAAGCUUAACAACGGCAGCCAAUUGCAGAUUCUUGUGCUCCAUUGAGGUCCCCCUUAAACCAAGUCCUUGCUCCAAUUGCAGAAUCUGUUAGGCUUUUGGAGACAAAAUUCUUAUCCAUAUUUAUAUAUACCACGAAACGCUGGAAAAUAGAAAACGAAUUAUUAUAGUAGAAUUCUUAUAUGCUUCAUGCUCUCCUGAGACAGAACCGCAAAAACUGACACUUGCAACAAAGUCCUUGCUCCAAUUGCAGAAUCUGUGAGGAAUACCCCAUUUUGGAGUGAAUAUUUUUAUUCUUGUUUAUAUAUAACCACAAACAGCAGAAAAAUAGAAAAAAAUUAUAGCAGAGGAAGGGACAAAUCAACAAAUUAAAGUGCCAAAUCAGUCCAGAAUUCAACAAAUUAAAGUGCCAAACCAGUCCAGAAUUCUUAUAUGCCUCAUACUUACUCCUGAUACAGAUCAACAAAAACUUGACACUUGCAAGAAACCAUCAGAGGACUCCGCUAGAAAAUUUACCAUUUUAAAUCCCAAGGCUGAAUGGAACCUUGCUUCCUGCCACAUUUGUAGGUUUCUCCUCCGUAUACACACAUAAAACUCAAAUACAGAGGAGUCCUUGGGCCACUGUAAUGAAGAGGACAUCUUCAUAAAUUACAAAUAUCAAUGAAAACUACGUUGAUCAUAGAAACAAGAUAAGUAGAACAAACAAAAGGCCAGAGACACUCAUCUCCGCCAAUUUCUCCCUAAGUUCAGAUCGCCAAAUUAAUCCUAGCAACAGCCGAAAACAUAAAUCAUGUAUCCUUGUUAAUUAGUUGAUCGCCAAAUACCACAACUUAUACCAUCCCACAUUACAUUCAUAGGCUAUCGCAGAACUUCUUAUUCUCGCCAUAGCUUUUGCAGUCCCAUCCCCCUAUAACAGACACAUGGAACUUAAGGAAUCAAGAAAACUAAAUUCCUAAGAGACACCCGUGACGAAUUAGUAUUUAGAGUGGAGAUCACCAAGUGGAAGUAUACCGAAUAGUCAGAAUUAAGUCACAGCUAAUUGCAGAUUUCUGCUCCAUGUGCAACAACAUAAAUUUAUGAUUCCUUGCUGUGACAAAGAUAUACAGAUUUGGGGGAAAAGAUUCUUAUUCUCAUAUAUCACAGAUAACAAAAAGAAUGGCAGAUUUCGAGAACAAAUAAACUCCAAACCAGGCGGUUCAGAAUAAAUAGUAUGUUAACCUUUGGCUUCCACAGAUCACAGCACACCAAAUAUUCAUAGUCUGUUCAAAAGAACCAAGGGAAGUUGAAGAGUCUCAAACAAAGACAGUUAUCUUCAAUUUCUCCACUUUCCAGAUACUAUUGAAAAGGUGCAGUGUGAUUGAGAAAGAAGUUAACAUUUGUGGUACACCAAACCCAUGUAACACUAACCCCGUUAACACCAGAUGAAAAUGUACAGAAAAUUAUGCUGUAACAAAUAGGUUGCAACAAAAAGAACUAAGAGAGAAAGAAUAGCAGCCUGAUUCCUCUAAUCAAGUUGAAGAUCAGCAGCAUAACAAAGAGCGGCCCCAUCAAGCUAUCCCAGCAUCUCUAGAAUGGCAUAAACUUUGCACCGUUGAAAAAGUAGUAUUGAUAGCAACAACUUCUAAGGGUGACCUUCUCAAUUGAACAUCAAUAAAAAUCGGCAAAAAAGAAAGCAACCAAAUUGAAUGUUACUGUCAUUUAACACACAACAUUGCAUCAAAACAACAUAUUUUCAAUUUAACAUGUAUGAAAAUAAAAGUCAGAACCAAAUCAUUUACUGUUUAUACAACUUUGCACUUUACUGUUUAUACAAAUGAUUUGUUAGAGAAAUUCAAGUUUGUUUUUUUAUUUAUAUCAAACUGUUUCUUCCUAUGUGUGUUAUUGAAUGAACUAUGAAGGAGUUGCCUCAACAUGUUGAAAAUUUUGAGAAAAUGCAAGUCAUGUUGACUAUCCUUGAACUUCUUUUAGCAAGUCUUUUUUAAGCACAUCCUUUCUGUUCUUGUUUUGAACAAAGUAGGUAUAAAAAAAAAAUUAAGAGAGAACCUCAAAACAAAAUCUGGCUAAACCACAACAACUUCAAACACAAAUCUAAAAACAUGAGUGAGUGUCUAAAGCUCAGACCAAAUCCUAGCAAUGCAUCAAACUUCCUAACCUUCGCACUAGAAACGUACCAAAAUUCAAUAUGUGGACUAAUGCUUCCGCAAUUUCCGAAGUUCUUUGUCCACUGCAUUGUCUAUUUCUCGAAUGCAGCUACGAAGCUUAAUCCACCGCGUCAUGGGUAAUGAGAUACCUGAACAAGAGUAAAAUUUCAUUGCAAAUUCUUCAUUUUUGUUUUCAUUGCAAAUGAAGAAUUUGCAAUGAAAUUUUAUACUUGUUUUCAGGUAUCUCAUUACCCAUGACGCAGUGGAUUAAGCUUCGUAGCUGCAUUCGAGAAAUAGCAGUGGACAAAGAACUUAGGAAAUUGCGGAAGCAUUAGUCCACAUAUUGAAUUUUGGUACGUUUCUAGUGCGAAGGUUAGGAAGUUUGAUGCAUUGCUAGGAUUCGGUCUGAGCUUUAGGCACUCACUCAUGUUUUUAGAUUUGUGUUUGAAGUUGUUGUGGUUUAGCCAGAUUUUGUUUUGAGGUUCUCUCUUAAUUUUUUUUAUACCUACUUUGUUCAAAACAAGAACAGGAAGGAUGUGCUUAAAAAAGACUUGCUAAAAGAAGUUCAAGGAUAGUCAACAUGACUUGCAUUUUCUCAAAAUUUUCAACAUGUUGAGGCAACUCCUUCAUAAUUCAUUCAAUAACACACAUAGGAAGAAACAGUUUGAUAUAAAUAAAAAAACAACCUUGAAUUUCUCUAACAAAUCAUUUGUAUAAACAGUAAAGUGCAAAGUUGUGUGUUAAAAUAGAAAAGGAUUAUAGCAGAGGAAGGGACAAAUCAACAAAUUAAAGUGCCAAACCAGUCCAGAAUUCAACAAAUUAAAGUGCCAAACCAGUCCAGAAUUCUUAUAUGCUUCAUACUCACUCCUGAUACAGAUCAACAAAAACUUGACACUUGCAAGAAACCAUCAGAGGACACCGCUAGAAAUUACCAUUUUUAUCCCAAGGCUGAAUGGAACCUCGCUUCUUGCCACAUUUAUAGGUUUCUCCUUCGUAUCACACACAUAAAACUCAAAUACAGAGGAGUCCUUGGGCCACUGUAAUGAAGAGGACAUCUUCAUAAAUUACAAAUAUCAAUGAAAACUACGUUGAUCAUAGAAACAAGAUAAGUAGUACAAACAAAAGGACAGAGACACUCAUCUCCGCCAAUUUCUCCCUAAGUUUAGAUCGCCAAAUAAAUCCUAGCAACAGUUGAAAACAUAAAUCAUGUUGUUAAUUAGUUGACAGAAGAUAAGUAGUACAAAUGGAGGCACUCAACUCCACCAAUUUCUCGCUAAAUUCAGAUUGCCAAAUCAAUCCUAGCAAUAGACGAAAACGUAUAUCAAAUCAUGUAUUAAUUAGUUGACAGAAGUUAAGUAGUACAAAAGAUAGAGGCACUCAUCUCCACCAAUUUCUCCCCAAGUCCAGAUUGCCAAAUCAAUCCUAGCAACAGUUGAAAUUUUAUGUCAAGUCACGUAUUCUUGUUAAUUACGUAUAUCAAAUCAUUUAUCCUUGUUAAUUAGUUGACAGAAGAUAAGUAGUACAAAGGAAAGAGGCACUAAUCACCAAUUUCUCCCUAUGUUCAGAUUGGCAACUCAAUCCUAUCAACAGUCGAAAGUCUAUAUCAAAUCAAAUAUCCUUUUUAUAAGUAAGUAGCACAAACCAAUUUCUCCAUUUCAGAAGGAAAACUUAAAAGUGAAAUGUGAUUGGAGACUUCUGUUGCACUUCAAACCUAUGUAACACUUAACCAUGACAAACAGACGGAAGAUAGUUUAAAUCUCCAAACCAAGCCGUUGUUAGACAUAUCAGAACUCCAGCUAUGUUUCCAAGUUCCACAAAACAUAACUGUUACCUAUUACUCAAACCUUAAACACAAAACAACAUCUGUUGACGAUUAAUAAUACUUGCUGUAACAUAGAAAUUAGAGAACAAUCAAUUAUAACCCAAACAAACUAAACAAUCAGAUCAUUACAUAAGAACUGCAAACAUCAGUCUACCAAAGAAUCAACCAGAAAAGAAUAACAUGAGGAUCAAACAAGAGAAUGAUAGAUAGAAUCGUAAGAAAUCAUACAUAGAUUAUUGCUCCUGCAACACCAAAGAGUAACGAAUCAAGAAAUAUUCACUCUCAGAGUAGUUAAAGAAAUAUUGAAAACAAAUAGAUUAUGAUAGAUAUCACCAAAUAAAUACACUAGGCUCUAUGCUGCGAAGGAAGUCAUCGGUUUGACAAACCGUGCUGCAGACAAAAAUGUUCAAAAUUCAAUGUUUAUAAAUACACUAGGCUCUAUGCCUUGCUAUCAAAUCCCAGAAAAAAUUAAAAUAAUAAAGGACUCAUUAAAGAAAAAUCGUUUAUCUAUCAGAAGCCGUUCCCCUGUUCUUGUCCAUUACAUCAAGUCUCCUAGAUUUUAAGACUUCCCUGCUCACAGUACAACGGAUAAACGGAUCUUCGAUUAUCAAAGGAAGACUUAUAUCGAAAAAUAACACAAAUAGAAAGAAAGAAAAGAAAAAGAAAAAGAAAAGAAAAACAUGAGAGUGUGAAAUAUAUGCUCUCAGGAGCAUUGAAUUUACUAGAUAAAGAUCACCACAAAAAUACUCAAGGCUCCAUGCUCAGAAGGAGGUUCUUACUUAGACACACCAAGCUGCAGAAAAAGCAUGUUCACAGUUCAAUUCUUCUCAUAAUCAAUAGCUUGAAAUUAAAAACAAUAAAGUGAAUCACUGAAGAAAUUCGAUUUAUCUAUUUGAAGCCAUUCUCCGUUCAUAUCCUUUGUGUCAAGAAUCGUAAAAUGUUUCUAGUUUUCAAGAAUUCUGCCACUUGCUGCAAAAUGGUUAAACAUAUAUCUCCAUCAUCUAAUUAUGAAAAACUAGAACCAAUAGUUCAAAAAUAAACAUAUAACUCUUGAAAAAAACGAUCCAUAAAAGAAGAGAGAAAACUGUGAAAUUCUUGAUAUCUACAUUCCAAAAAAGGAUAUCGAAACACCAAUCCAUAAAGAUCAAAAACCCAAGCGAAAGGAUAAAUUCCAGACUCCUGCACUGAGGCUCCUGAUACAAAAACAUAAAAACUGCAACACUAGCAGGGCACACCAUCAGAGCAUAACUAUCCCAUCCCAACACAAAUCAACAUGCAUGAAAAAAAUAACCAAUUUUUAGUCGCAAGGUUGAAUGAAAAGUAAGAGGUAUGACCAGCUUUAUUCCAAUACUAAACAAAAGUAAGAAAACCUAAAUGAGAUUCCAUCAGACAGUCUCAAUUUCUCCAGCAUUGUGUAAACUAUCACACUGUCAGAUUACAUCAAAAACCAAAAUGUAAUGAAUCAGCAGUAUGAUGGUGUUAGAAAAACUAAAGCUGAACUUCUCAGAUAUAAACAAGAGGAAGAUCAAUAGAACCAGAGUAUGUUCACCGAUCACUUCUCCUGCAACACGGAAGAGUAAAUAACAAAAAAAGAAAAAAGAAAAAAGAUAUAGGAUGUCGAUAAAAAAUUUAUAAAAUGAAAAGAAUUUAAUAGAGAUCACCAAAUAAAAAUGCUAGGCUCCAU